UUUUUUUUUUUUUUUUUUUGGUCCUUUUUUUGGAUAAAUGGGUAAAACAAGAUGAUACAGAAUUUCCGAGCCCUCACAUAAAAUCAUAGUCAUCGAUAUCAUCAUAAGCAUUAACAACUACGUCGUCAUCCGGCUUAUCAACAUGAAGUUGCUUCUUCUUUGCACCUGGACACAACCACCAAAAGAGCAAUUCAGAGUCACUUGUUAGUUUGCAAUUCAUAAGCCCUCAUUCUAAACAAAUUGUCCCAAUAAACGAGUAAGAAAUCUGCCACAGUUAAUGCGUCAUGCUCAGAUAUAUAUAUAUCAGGCACAAAAGAGGUUGUUUCCCGAGAUAAGACGUCCAUAGAAAUAAGCUGCAAAAUUACAAGCAGCUCUUGACUUUUGGAAUGGUGAUCAAAUGAAUCUUCCACAAUUCUCAAACUGAUCAUUUGGCCCUUACUCAGCCAAAGUGCUUUGGGAAGGGCAAUUACAAUAAAAUACCCUUCUGAUAUAUACCAUAUUAUAGUCGUCAAACACUGAGGUUCAAAAGUUUUUUUCUCCAAAAGAUUGGGCUUAGAACUAAUCCUUGCCCAAGGGAUUAUGGUUAUCAUCAGAAAACAAAAUGUAGUAUCUCACUUCACUCCACAAUCCACAUAUACAUAGCAAAAUUGUCCAUAUCAAUGCAAAAACCAUUGAUGUAAUCCAGUCAUAACUAGAAAUUGAUUUUUCACUCUCCCAAUGGUUAUCACACUCGCCACCAGUCCAUGCCCUUAAUCACAUUGGCAUAUCAAAUGGCUGCCUUUUUCCUUUUUGUAAAAGCAUGAGAUAAAUUACCUCAAGUAAAUAAUUUCACGGAUCAAUAAAAUUUGUUCAAAAUUUUCCAUUACAUUAUGAAAUAAGGGAAUGUUUUGAGGUCUUCUUCAAAAACAGUUUUUGAUAACAGUUCUUAAAAACAAUUUUGAAUUGUUUUUAAGAAUAAAAUCUGUUUUUUCCUCAAAACAAAUUUUAAUUGUUUUUAAGAAUAAAAUUCUGUUUGGAAAUUCAAAUAUGAAAAAUAGUUUUUCCCACUUAUUCUCCAAGAAGGUACUAUGUGCUUAUGUACGAUAUAGAAGUUUACAAAGUAUUAUUCAUGUCUUCAUUCAUUGCUGAGAUCAUUCUACAAAAAACAACUGAAAACACUUAAAAUUUGUUCUAAAAAACAACUCAUUUUUAGAACAAAUUCUCAGAAAACUGUUUUCUGUUUUGCUAACCAUGUUUUGCGAGUUAUACAACUGUUUCAUGUUCUAAAGAACAGAAGAGAGUGUUUUCAAAAACAAUUGCCAAACAUGGCCUAAAAUCCUCAUGUUUUGUUUUGGGUCCAGUUUAAAGAAUGUGAAGUGUCCAAAUUUUAUAAUAAAACCUGUUACUGAUCGGCUCUGAUAUGUGGCCUUGUUACUGUGCCACACUACUAUCAUGGUAUGACAAAAUUUACUAAUUAUAUAUAUUUUUUUUACUUUAAUUUUGACCCCAGCAAAAGAAGGAAAAAAGAAACAAAAGGCAAACAACAAGAAACAAAAGAUUCCUCUUAAUCACACCACUUCCUGCAUGGAAGGGAGGAUGUUCCCAUAAGAAGUCAGCAUGAGAUGAUAAACAAAAAUAGAAACAGGAUGAUAAAAAGUGUUAAUUAGUAUUUACUGUCUUAAAUAUAGGUGAGAUGGCUUUGUGUGCAUGCAUAAAUUUUCUACACUAAUGAUUGACAAUACAUAAGGAAUUUUCCAAACCAAAAAAUUAUAAAUAACGGUUAAAAUUAGCCAUCACAUGUGUUGGAGGUAUCAUAAUAUAAACAGGGGCUUAUACUUUUUUUUAAAAAUCUUAUACGUGAUAUAAUCUGCACCUCUGUUUUGGGGCAAACAAAUUUACAAAUAAGGUUAUGGGUAUCCAUGAUGGCUUUUUACAACAUUUAUAAAUCUUGUUACCUAUCUCUGCAUUUAAAGGAGGUUUUGAUUUUAUUUUAUUUUUAAAGGGAUUAAACAAUCACCUCUAGAACAUAAAUUUGCAAGACAGCAAUACUUUCUACUCAAAUAAGAAGAGGCAUAUCAACAGAUACAUACCAAUUUUCUUUUUACCAGUAUUGGCUUCCUUUUCCGCUUUCAGCUUCUCAUUUGCAAUUGCUGUGACAGAUGAGGCUAUUUCUUUUGCAUCAGCUGCUUUUAAGGAAGCCAUUGACAGUCUCAUUACAGCCUUGAGCAAUCCAAUAUAGUGGAAACUUUUCUGCAUUAUGAAGCAUAAAUCAUAGCCAUGUCAUAAUUCUGUCCAGCUGUAUCACCAAACACCAGAUAAUCAAACAUAUCAAACACACCUCAUACGAUCGCAGCUUAUGAGAAAUGAGCUCCGCAUAUUCUACGAAGUCACUUUCAGAUUUAGGAAUGAAACUAUCAAGAGUCUUCUCAUCACCUCUCUUAGCAAACAAUUCUGUCGUGGAUUUAUAAUCCGCUUCCUCAAUAAGCCUGUUACAGGACCCAAAAAAAAAAUUACCAUUAUUAAACCAAAACAUUUCUGAAGGAUUACUCAUCCUCCACUGUACUCCUUUCUCCAUUCAUAAUAUUUCCUUUUUCUCUCUUCAAAGAGGGAAAAAGAGUUUUAUAAACCCAUGUGUCAAAAAUCAUCUAACAAGUUCAACACAUUUCGUUCUAGUUCCCCAUGGUCAACUCACAACUCCUCAAGUAAUACCAUCUAAUAUCAAAUCAACUAGUUUAAACAACAUUUGACAUAUUUUCCAUACUGGUGCAGUAGAAAGAAUAAGACAUCAUCAUCAUUCAAAUGGUAUGGAGCAUUUUCAUUGAUCUAAUAUCUAAAACAAACCUCCUUUAAUGUGAGAAAAUAUACCCAAGCCUUGUCCACCAUUCAUAAUGGAAUACUGCACAAGAUAUGCAUACAGGUCACUAACUUACCAACCAAAUCUCACAUAUGCGAGUAACCUCUUUACUAUGCACCAGAUUCUCUACACCAGUGGUUUCCCAGACAAAAUGCAUAAAUGUACAACUACACAAGUUUAUACUGAAUGUUUCUAAGUUCCAAAAGGACUACAGGAAGAAAGAAGAAAAGAGUUCUAAUAUCACCUUAUUGAUGACAAGAAGAUUCGUAUUUUAGGUCUCUUUUAUAGAUUGAAGAAAAGGAUAAAUGUCAGUACACAAACAAGGAGCCCUACACCUUAUCCCAUUACAUCCUACCCAUGCCCCCACUCCUUUUUGGGCUGAGGGUGUAGAUAUCUGGAGGUGAGUGUCUUCAUGUGGAGUCAAAUGCUCAACCUUUUAUGAAGGUCAAGCUCAGUAAUCAAGUUAACAUUCAUAACUCAAAAGGCUCGAGGCCCAGUUGUAGUCUGCCGAUGGGAUGCGGGGGCAGACAAGCGGGUCGGGGCGCCCUUUGGAUCGUCUUCGAAGCCUUGACGGGUUGUCAGAUAGGCCCCAUGGAGGACUGCAGCUUUUGGGUGGGCCCUCUAAGCUAGGCCCAGCAAAGGACCCACGGUGUACUAAUCUGGUUUCUGGGCCCUCUGGGCCAGAUCCAGUUUCGUCUACCUCAAUUGAGGCUGGGUUGCUUAUUUUUGGGCUGACAACUGUGAAGGACCCUGGGUGGGCCAAGGCAAAGGAGUCCUUUGUGGCCCCUGGGUCGAUGUUUGCAGAGGCCCGCCCCAGCCCAAGUUGGUGUGGCCCGCCCCUUGGUUUUGUCUGGCCCAAACUCAUUGAGGGGUCCAAACCCUGGAAUCUCUAUUUUUCGGGUGAAGGAUGGCCUGCGGAAGCAAAUUGAGGAAGAGCACCAUUCUGAGGAGAGAUCGAAGACUGACCUUGCACUAAUUGAGGAAGCAUUGAGGUAUGGGAACGCUUUUAAUGGAAUGUUGGCUUCUAGGUUCUCUUUUUCUCCCUUCUUUUUUUCUGAUCAGACUCCAAUGGGGGAGUAUUACGACUUUUCUGGGGCUGGUUGGGAGAAAGUCUAGGGGGAAACCCCGCUUCGCUUGGUCAAUGCUCCGGGGGCUACAGAGGAUGAGACCAUUACUCGUUGGGAGUUGAUGGAGGUUAACAAUGGCAGCAAUAAAGAAAGUAGAGAGGAGUUGUGCUUAGUUCAAACUAUGCCACAAGAAGUAAAAGGUUGGGAGGAGGUCAGUUGGAAGGAAAGCAAUCUAGUUAGGUUCAGUAAAUUCUUGGGGUUUCCGACAGAGGGAUUGGAGAAAGAAAUUUUGGAUUUUUUGGUUAAAAUCAGAAAGAGAAGGGAGAGAGUUCAUAGCAAAACUCUUCUAGAGAAAUCCAAAUUCGAAAGGGAAUUAAAAAGACUAGAGUGCUCCAUUACCUAUGAGGGGGGGGGGGGGGGGGGAAGUAGAAAUGUGGUAUGCAAGGAAGAGGGUGUCAAAUUAUGGAAGUCCAAUAAAGUUAAGGCUUUUGAGUUGGAAUAUGCGUGGAGCUAACGAUAGCUUUAAAAGAAAGGUGAUUAAGGCCCUGAUUAGAAGUCAGAGGGUGGACUUGUUCUGUCUUCAGGAGACGAAAAUUCAGGCAAUGUCAGAGGGUGUGGUGAGGAGUUUGUGCACUGGUAGAUUUCUAGACUGGGGUACCCUGAAUGCUUAUGGCUCUGCGGGAGGGAUAUUAAUCUGUUGGGAUAAAAGGACCCUGGAUGUGCUUGAGAUGGAGGUGGGACACUUCUCAACUUCCUGUAGGCUUAGGAAUGUGGAAGAUGGGCUAGUUUGGAUUUUCACAGGUGUGUACGGGCCUUUCUCUAGAGAGGUUAGGGAUUGUUUGUGGGAGGAGUUAGGGGCGAUCAGAGGCAUUUGGGAUGAUCCCUGGUGUUUAGGGGGUGACUUCAAUGUCAUCCUCUCCCAAAGGGAAAGGAGUAGCUAGGGAAGGCUAACUGGUGUAAUGAGAAGGUUUUCCUAGAUUGUUGACGAGCUAGAGCUACUUGAUCUUCCUUUACAAGGGGGUGUGCUUACCUGGAGUGGGGGUAGGAAUAAUCAGUCUUGGGCUAGACUGGAUAGAUUCCUAGUGACCCAGAACUAGCUUGAUCAAUUUAGUGGGGUUGUCCAAAGUAGGCAGCCUAAACCCACUUCAGACCACUUUCCCAUCUUGCUGAAGGGUGGUGGGUUAAGGCGGGGCCCCUCCCCGUUUAGGUUUGAAAACAUGUGGCUUAAAGUUGAUGGUUUUAAGGACCUUCUUCGAGGAUGAUGGCAGGGGUCUGGGGUGAGAGGGAGGGCCAGUUUUAGACUGGCCACUAAGUUGAAGGAGAUGAAGCAAAAAAUCAAAGUUUGGAAUAGGGACGUGUUUGGAAGGCUGGAAGUUAAUAAAAACUCAACUCUACAACAAGUUGAGUACUAGCAUGGGGUGGGAAGUGAAAGGAGCCUUUCAGAAGGAGAAACAGAGCUGAAAAAAGAAGCUAAGGAAACCUAUAAAAAGUGGGUUUUACUGGAAGAAACCCAUUGGAGACAAUUGUCAAGGGAGUUGCGGCUAAAGGAAGGGGAUAGGAAUACAGGCUUCUUUCAAUGGAUGGCAAAUGCCAAUUGAAGAAAUAAUUCCCUGAAUAAAAUUAAGAUUAACGAGGUGUGGAUGACUGAGGAUCAGGGGGUGAGGGAGGGGAUUGUGAAUGCUUAUCAACAAUUGCUCUCAGAAUAGCCAAGCUAGAGAGUUGACAUUGAGGGGCUACACCUUCAACAUCUAAAUUUCCGUGAAGCUGAAGUUUUGGAGCUGCCUUUCACUGAGGAAAAAAUCCACUCUGCCUUGAUGGAAAUGAAUGGUGAUAAAGCUCCAGGCCCGGAUAGGUUCACAGUCGCUUUUUGACAAGCUUGCUGGGACUUUGUGAAGGAGGAGAUUGUGGAUUUGUUUAAGGAGUUUUAUGAUCAAAGAUCCUUUGCCAAAAGUUUUGGACCUUGGGGAUUUUCGACCCAUCAGCCUUUUAGGGGGACUGUACAAGCUUUUAGCCAAGGUGCUGGCGAAUAGGCUGAAGAAGGUUUUAGGAAAGGUGGUUUAUGUGGAUCAAAAUGUCUUUGUAAGGGGCAGACAGAUUUUGGAUGUUUCGCCUAUCGCUAAUGAGGUGAUUGACUUCUGACAUAAACGUAAAGAGAAAGAGCUGAUUUGUAAAUUGGACAUUGAAAAAGCCUAUGAUAGCAUCAAUUGGAAUUUUCUCAUGAAGGUUUUGCAUAAGAUGGGCUUUGGGUCUCGGUGGAUGGAGUGGAUUUGGUGGUGUAUUUCAACGCCAAAUUUUAUGUCCUGAUCAAUGGGGUGUCAGCAAGUUUCUUCUCGAACACCAAGGGGUUGCGUCAAAGAGAUCCUCUUUCUCCUUACCUUUUUGUCUUGGGUAUGGAAGUGCUAAGUACUCUAAUAAGAAGGGCUGCUGAUGGGGGCUUCAUUUCAGGCUGUAGACUUCGGGGGAGAGGGAGGAUGGAGACGAAUGUCUCCCAUUUACUUUUUGCUGACGAUACAAUCAUUUUCUACGAAGCAAGGAAAGAGCAUCUUACCUUUUUAAGCUGGAUUUUGGAUUGGUUUGAGGCAGCCUCCGGCCUAAGAAUAAACCUAGCUAAAAGCGAAUUAAUUCCUGUUGGGGAGGUAGAAGAGAUUGAGAAAAUGGCAGUGGAGCUAGGGUGUAGAAUGGGGUCUCUGCCCAAUGUUUACUUGGGGCUGCCCCUUGGAGCCCAUCACAAGGCUAUGUCUAUGUGGGAUGGGGUGGAAGAGAGAAUGAGGAGAAGAUUAGCCCUGUGGAAAAGACAAUAUAUUUCUAAGGGCGGGAGAAUCACCCUCAUUAAGAGCACACUGGCUAGCAUGCCUAUUUACCAAUUAUCCCUCUUUCGAAUGCCCAAGAUUGUUGCAAAAAGGCUUGAAAAAUUACAACGAGACUUUCUUUGGGAAGGAGGAAGCUUGGAAAGGAAAAUCCACUUGAUCAAUUGGGAGGUAGUGUGUACUCAAAAGGAGAAGGUUGGUCUAGGCAUACGGAAGAUUGAUCUCUUGAACAAGGUCUUGCUGGGUAAAUGGAUAUGGAGAUUUGCCUUUGAAAAGGAAAAUCUUUGGAAAAAGGUGAUUGGGGUGAAGUAUGGCCAAGAGGGCUUUGGGUGGAGGACUAAUGAAGCUCGCGGGACGUUUGGAGUGGGGGUUUGGAAGGAGAUUCUGAAUGAGGCAAAUUGGUGUUGGAAUAACAUAGAGUUUAAGGUGGCUAAUGGGACUAGAGUUAAGUUCUAGACUGAUCAUUGGUGUGGCAAUGCGACGCUGUCCCAAAACUUCCCCCAAUUAUUCGCCUUGGCGGUCCAUAGGAAUGCAACGGUCAAUGAAGUGUGGGACUCAAGCCUUGGUCAAGGAGGUUGGAAUCUCAAAUUUUCUAGAGAUUUUAAUGAUUGGGAGCUGGACUUGAUAGGAGAUUUGCUUAAUAUGCUGAGAGGCUUCAGAAUAUCUUCAGAGGAGGACUCAGUGUUAUGGAAAGGAGGGGGUCAUGGCACUUUUGGGGUUAGGGACGCUUAUUUUCUGCUGGUUGCUCCCAACGCCUUUGCCUUCUCGAAUAAGUGCAUUUGGGUGGAUAAGGUCCCAACCAAAGUUGCUUUUUUUGCUUGGGAGGCCACAUGGGGGAAGAUUCUCACCUUGGAUAGACUUCAAAAACGGGGGUGGCAGCUCCCUAAUUGCUGUUUUUUGUGUGGUUGUGAAGAGGAAAAUGUAAAUCACAUUCUUUUACACUGUAUAAUGGCCAGGGUCCUCUGGGAGAUCGUCCUUGCCUUGUUCGGGGUUCAGUGGAUAUUCCCAGAGACAGUCAAAGAGGUGUUAAUUAGUUGGAGGGGCCUUUUUGUGGGGAAAAAAAGGAAAAAGAUUUGGAAUUCCAUUCCGUUGUGUAUUUUUUGGAUGGUAUGGAAGGAAAUGAAUAGAUUAGCUUUUAGGGGGGGUUCUUUAACUAUACAGAAACUCAAAAAUUCUUUUGUAUGUAAUUUGUGGAGUUGGACUAGGGUGUAUAUUGAAGGGGAGUCCUCUUUGCUCUUAGGCUUUUUGGAGUGGCUAGCGGCCACUUAAGGGCUGGUGAGGUGUUUUUUACGUUUUUUUUUUUCAAGCUGCUAUGUAUACUCCAUGUAUGCUUUGUGGCUUUUUGCCCCUUAAUAUAUUCUGUGCUUAUUUAUCAAAAAAAAAAAUAGGCUAGCUGAGGGAACGCUUUAGGACCAAGACUCAUCUGAAGCCCUUGCAUAGCCUAACUAUAAGGCUAAAACAGUACAACCAGAAGUGCAAAAGUAACAUCUUUAGCUACCUCUUAGGGUGCAAAUACCAUCAAAGCAAAUCCAUGUUAUGUAAAUAUUGUUAAUGUAUGAGUGGAUAGAGUUCCUAUACAUAGUCUAUUGAAUACUAAGAAUCUGAUGAUCUUUGCAUCGGGGCUGAAUUUCAAAUUCUUAAUCUGACAUAAAUACAUUGCAACAAACCCCCAAUUUUUUUUCCCCUUUGGGAGGACAUAAUGGUCAGUAUACCCUCCAAGUGAUAAUGCUCUUUCAGUUUUCACAUUCAACUGUACAGGUCUCGCAUUCAACUGACCCUAGGGUAGAACAGCCAAGUCCAGCUUUUAAACAUUUUAAUUGACAUGAGAUAAACCUGCAUGUACCCACUUGGGGCAAGUGGUUGUGUCUAAGCUCAUAGCAUUGUAUGCUUGCAUGAGUAUGGACCACCAUACUCAUGGUUUUUUUCUGCUAAAUUGUUAUCUAUCAAAAUAUGGAACAACCAUAUGAUGUAUAUGCAAUGCAGCAGCUUUCCAUGUACAAGUACUCAUGUGCACCUAAAGCAUCAAGUGAUAUAAAUGUAAAACCACAAGUUGUAAAAACUAGCUGUAUACAAGAAGAAAUGAAUGCAUCAAAUUCAUACCUCUGCUGUCUAAUUUUCUCUGCUACAGGAUCUAGUGUGACUUCUGUUACUGCUUCAACAGCUUUUCCUUUCUUCUCAGUAGCUUUUUCCACAGGUUUCUUGGGAGGCUUUUCAGCAGGAGGUUGUAUUACAGGUGCCUGAUCACAUCACAUGAAUUAAAAUCGACUUUAGAGAACCAUAAUUAACAAGGAUGUUACUCCAUCAUGAGUGAAAAAAGAGGCCAAACACCAGAACUGCAAUAUAGAAUUCUCUAAUCCAUGUUCCCAACCCUAAUUGAACAUAUUAAACCUGGCCUCAUCCCACAUCCAACUCAAACUAUCCUGAAACCGCCCAUAUGUAAUUUAAACUGACUACAUGCAUCCAAAAACUUUCAACAAGAGGAUAAAAUCAAACAAAUAACAAAAAUCCAAAUCUGAAACAGCUCCACACACAACUGGGGUUUUCUAUUCUCAUUCUUAAUUGUCUAAAUCCCAAACUCAUUCAGAUAGAAGUGAGACACAGGACCACAGGUGGCAGAGUAUAUGGUCGAAAAUGAUUGUGUGGUUUGUUUGAAAGAUACGACGACAAUGACAUAAUUAUAAUUCAACAAAACGUUCAAGCACUCAAAUUCAGUAGAUGAAUAAACACAACCAUUUUGCCCGAUUUAUUAGCUAAUACACAUUCCAAAGGGCAUAUCACUGAAAAAUAUAGUCUCAUUCGCCAGUUGAUGUGUAAAACAACAUAUGGCUAGUGAUUUAAAAGGGUAAAUUUUGUGAAUAACAAACAAGGAUGCUAUACACCAAGGUAUACAGGAUGUUUGCAGAGUGUAUAUAUAUAUCUAGUCAAAGCUUAUCAUAAAUAUGAUUAAAGGAACAGAUGAAAACAGACUUCAGCCACAAUAUCUAAUUGAAGAACAUAAAUAGAAUUUAAUAAUACCGGAGCAGGCUCAUCUUCAUCCUCCCAUGACUCCUUCACAUUAUCGUCAUCCAAAUCUUCAUCAUCCCACUUAUUCUUAGGUUCCUCUUUUUUUCCAAGAGGUGUAAUUGGCUCAUCCUCUGAAACAAUAGCAUUAGACUUUAUAAAUUGAAUACAACACAAAGUAAAGAACAAACUCACUGCAAAGCUUAAAAGGUUGUAAUCUUUUAAUUAGAAAGAUUAUCUUAAUAUUUUUCUUCUGAUUCCAGAAAAGACCACCGACCUUAUCUUGUGCUCUAAUGUAGCCUAAACUACCUACCUCUAUGCAAACAUCACCACUUGGAAAUAAUUACUUUGCCUAUGGAGUUAAUAGUUAUAACAUAUGACCAAAGCAGAUCUGGCCCUCAAUACAACAAUUAUUUUCAAAGGAAAUGGUGGUAAUUGAAAUGAUAUCAAAACCUAACUUUACAUCAGAAACUUUUCAUUUACCAAACCACCACCACCCCCAUGGCCCCGACUGCCUCUUGCUAGUAGUUACCAAGUUGAGCCAAUCUAAUGGACUUAUUUAGUUUCAGGAAAUUGACAGCCUUUUCCUAGAAAAGGAUAUGAAUCAAAUAUGUCAAUCUCUGUGUAUUUCAAAAUCUUGGACUUGCAUAAUACUAAAGAUUAGCCUAUCAAAAAAAGAAAAAUAAAAAGAAAAAACAUUUCAUCUGAAUCAUAUUUGUCACAAACAAUCAUUUUUGACAUGUCAAAAUAUCUAACAACUUCAAGUAGUUGCUUGUCAUUAAAAUAUAAAAUUCAGCAAUAUGCUUAUGCUAAAGAAAUUAUGAUUAUCACAAAGAUAAUCAAAACUUUAUAUAGCAAAGGCAUGUUACCCCAGUCUUCCAUCUCUGUUUUCCGAUUUGGACAAAGUUUUUUUUGUUCAAGAUCUCCUUAAGUCAAGAAUAAAUGGAUGACCCUGCAUAUUGAAGGACACAAACAUGGAAAAGAUUUUACAUUAGUAAUUAGAAUAGUGUAAACAGCAACAUUAAAAGGUACAAGAAAGAAAAUGGAAUUAACAGUAUUCAACUGUCACUGAAAACAAUAACGAUAACAAGCAACAAGAAGUUCAAAGAAAUCAUCCACCAUAAAAACUGAGAGAUACAGUUUCCAACAGUCAUGAUUAAUGACUCCACAUUAAUCUCAAAACCAGAAAUUUCAGUGAAUAAACUUUCAAGAUUAUUUGCAAACAAAACUUGUAAAUAAUGUCAAAAACAGAAUCAGUGCCACCAUCUUCCAGGGUUUGGAGAAAAUCCAAAACCCAACUCAAAAAUCUACUCUAUUCUUGUAGGGUUGCAAGAAACCGCAAGAUUCUACCUAAAAUCAGAGCCAAUCUAUCAUAUUUUUCCAAUAAAAUGCAAACCCCGACUCAAGAACCAGUGUCAAUCCCAUAUUUUUCCAAGAAAAUAAAAAACCUAGCUGAAAAACCAGCACCACUCCCUCGUGGGGGUUCCAGGAAAUUUAAAACCCAACUAUUGACUUAUACCAAUUCAGUUGAGCCUCAUGAGAGGCUCUAAUUUUCUCGGGUCCCAAACCACAAAACUCCAAAAUUCAAACCCUUAAUGCCACCAUCUGCUCAGCAACCAAACAUAUUAAACAAAGAGCACCCCAAAACAAUGACAGGACCAAACAAAUUUCUGCCCCGCGUUUCCCCCGUAUAAAACCAAGAACGGAAAUUAAUUGAGAGAAAAAGAAUCAUUGUGAUUACCUAAAUUAAUCUAAAAAAAACCUUCUCUUCUUCAACUCAAGGGCGUCAACAAACCGAAACCCUAGCGAAGAAGGAGAAACCCUAAUAUCGAGCCUUCUAACACGGAAGAAGAAAAACCCUAAUAGGAAGAAGAAACGUUGAGAUCGAUUCGGAUUCCGACGAAAAGAGUGAGUGGUAACGCAAGACAGAAAUGACCGAAUCGGUUAUUAGGGUACGGUUCGGCUGCUGUGAGGGCAUCUUAUAUGAGAAAAUCAACGGGCGGAUCCUGAUUUCUGGAUCAUACGUUUCAACGGGUGAAACUUGACCCGAUUUGCUUCAUCCGACCCGACGCUUCGGGUUGAUCUCAUUAAACAACCUCUCCACCUUAUCUUAUAAUAUUAGAAUUUAAAGGAAAAAUAAAAAAUAUACUAUAAAUAAUAAUAAUUUCUAUAUAAAAUAUAUUCAACUUUAAAAAAAAUGCACUUUGUGAUAUUAAAAAUUACUUUUAAAUUUUUUAAAAUUUAAGAUAAUAAAAAUAUAUUAAUUCUUUUAAUUUUUUUAACCAUUUUUUAAAUUAUUGUUCUUUUAAGAUGAUUUUAUAAGAGUUUUUUUUUUCGUGCAUUUUUUCUAUGUAUUUUCUUUUUCUCAAAUUUUUCAAGUAUCAAACAUUCACAAGCUAUUGUUUGGUAGCUGUUUUUUUAAAACGGUUCUAAGAAAUAGUUUUUGAAAACAUUUUUUAAAACUAUUCUAUGAUAUUUUGUAGAAAAAAAAAAAUCUAUUUAACAACUGAAAUGUUUUUAACUUGUAUUUAAUAUUUUUAAAUAUAUUUAAAAAAUAAUUUUUAUAUCCAGUACUUUAUUUUUAAUUAUUUUACAUAUUUAUAUAAUUAUUUUCUAAAAUAAGUGAAAACAAGUAAAAAAAUGUUCUCUAGAAACAAUAACUUUUUUAUUAUCAAAUAUGUUUUUUUUUUUUUUUUUUUUUUGUGAGAAUAGAAAACUGUUUUAAAAAACAGUUACCAAACUCAUUGUUUGCCUUCCAAUGAUCCGGAUCAAGAAUGGUCAAAUGGAGUGUAAUAUUUUCUUUAUUGAUCAUACAAACACCAGAAUCCGAUAUUACCCGCAAGGCUUACUCUCCAGUACCUAUAUACUAAUCUCCAUGGAUUAAAGUUAAGGCACACACUGGGCAACUCAAUAGAGCAUUUCUGUUACUUGAAUUUCAUCUCAUUACAUGACAAGGAGCAUUAGCAUAUGUUGCAGUAUCAGCAUAGUGGCUGGUUAUGCUUUGCCUCUGGGAUGAAGCCUGGAAAUCCAAAUAUCAAAACCAAUCUACGUGUUGGGUUGAGCCCUUUGGUUGAUUCUUCGGCUUCUGAUACCGGUUGUUCUCAAACCUGGCUUUAACGAUAAGCGAAUAAAGCAAGUCUGCCUCAGCUGAAGUAUCAUAAGGUGUGUCCAAGAUGCUGCAAAUCAAAAUGAACCAUAAACACAGAAGUUAAUGAUAAAGCUCUUAACAUAUAAGCUGAUCCCAGAUUAUCCGUUAACUGGACUGGGAUUAACAUAAGUAGACAAGCUCUCACAUGAGUCUAAGGAAUGUAGACAAGCUCCAUUGUUUUAAUUUACUGGUUGCUCUAGAUUAGUAUAAAUCUCUAUACUUUUUUAACAUGGAUUUUCAGAAAGGAUGAGAUGUGUCUACCUGUCCAGAAGCUCCUCCAGAACGAUUCUCUGUGAAGGUGUAACAUAAUGAAUACAGCUUCUUGGGCACUGGCCAACUGCAAGCUGAACUUGGUAAUCUUCACCAUGUCCUGAUUAGAGUUCAUAGUGGCUUUAAAAUCCUCUUCAUUGUAGUUUGAUAGGCCAGGAGUUUAAUAGAGAUUAGGCUGACCUUGAGAAGUUGCUCGUGCGGUUCCGGUUGAAGAAACAAAUGUGAAGGCAUGAGGUGCUUUAUUUACACACGAAUACGGACAGCCUGCAGAUAUUUUGGAAGGUUGGUGAGAAGAGAUCCAUGUACAAAUUUAUGCUUUUGCAGGCUUCUCAGAAAUUUGAAUGAGGAUAACUCAUGAACUUCAGGUACAUGACAACAGAACAAUCCAAGGGUUCAAUCAACACGAUGUUACUUAAGGGAGUCCUCUUCACAACAGAGGGCAAGAACAGAGAUCCCUGUUGCUUGUCACAAAUAUUAUUUUCAUCCCUGGAAUUCAAUAACGAUAUGAGAUAUACAAAGCUAUAUGCUCACUCUUUAUGUAGAACUGCAGGCAAUGAUUUUCUGUAAUUGAGGGGUUUUGGACUUGCAAGACAAUUUCUAGCUAUUGCAGCCACACAACUCCUGAAAGGGAGUGUAUCACCAACAGUUCAGGGUUUUUGUUUCUUAGUAGACCAGGCAAGAUGAAGAAAGCUCAAUACCUAAGUUCUACUAUCCGAUGCUUUCAAAAUUCAUUGAACUACUAGCUCAUCAACAGUUCAGGGUUUAAGGUAGAAGUUAGAGUGAAGCCACCAUACCUUUGCCAACACAAAGAACUUCAUUAACAAAGAGAUCAAAUGCCUCGCAUUCCGGCUCAUCAAAUGGAUCUAAACAUUCCCUACAAAUAUACAUGUCCAACAUUAAGAACGACACUAAGAACAAAAAAUUUUCAAAGAAUGGUGGGGAUCAUAAAUAUAUAACUUAACUGAUACGUAAAUAACGAACUAAAAACAUACUAAGUUCCUUCAAAUGAUUCAGGAGUAGCACAGUUGACAUCAGAGAUUAACAUUACAAAUUCAGGAUCUGGGAAAACUCCAGUUCAAGGAAUUAUUCAAAGGUUGGAAGAUAAUGAGUACAAAACUGCAGAAGGGCAUUACAUGUAAAAAGGACAGAAGAUGGAGCUUCCUUCCCAGAAUAAUUCAGAGGUUCAUUUGUGAAUAAUUUAUCGAAAUCUGCAAAUAGAUUUUGGAGCAUGCAAUCACGGAAUGAAUACAAAUUAUUGUGAGUGGCUUCUGAAUUUUUCAAUAACCCGAUAUGUCCAUUAGAAACUUGAAAAUAACAAAAGUUUUGGAUGAAGCAAGAUAGAACAGAAAUGGCAAUACCAUAUGGCUAAGAAACAACAGAAACAUUCCAUUACUAGAUUCCAAGAACUUGAACACUCAGUUUACCUCUCAAUGAUCUCUGAUCGGCUGCAACAGGAUAACAGCUGCAUACAAUAUUAAACCGCUAGAGUCAACAAUUUCUAUCAAUGGCGACUAGUUAUAGAAGUACAAACAUUAUACAUGUGAGCUCAAUAGAAAAAACUAAUAUGACAACUGAAUCAAGCCUAUUACAACUAUUAGGUUUUCAGGUUUUUUUUCCUUGAAACCAAACAAAGAAGAAUGAAUCACUCCAUGGUGGUCCUGUGUCUUCCUUUGAAUCUUUACUAAAGAAAUCGAACGAAAUAAAUUGUUCUAGUUUUAUAUAUGAUUGUACCUCGUAUGCUUGAAUUACAAGGCGAAUCAUCUUGUCUGAAUCUCCCCCUUCUUUAUUUACAUCGGGGUGAAACUGCUUGACCUGUACUAAAAACCAAAAAAGGCGUCAAUCCCCAUUUCUUUCAUGUUCGAAUUUUAAUGCCAGAGAAACAUUAAUUUCUUGUUUGAUUCUUGAGAAAAUGUAGGAAAAGAAAAGAAUUUAUAGUGGAAACUGCAGAUUCUUUAUUACUUUAUCCCAGAAACAUCACUCUGUUGUGCCUAUUACUUCUCCUUUGCUUAGUUGAUUUUUCAUUUGCUCACAAAAGGUAUCAAUUCUCUGUUUGGUAUCUGAGAAAAUGCAGGAAAAGAAAAUAAACUAAACUUCGAAUCACAUAAUAUUCACCGUUCGGAACCCAAUGAAAGAAUGGGAAAAAAAACAAAAGAACAAACCCCAACCCAAAAGUGGAAUACCACCGUUUGGCCUAGAAGGCAAAAAAAAACAUGCAUAAAAUUCAAAAUUUUAUUUUCUUUUCUUCCAUUUUCCCGGGAGCCAAACAAAAUAAAUCAAACAAUUCUUGAAUUUUUUUUCAUACUUUGGCUCUGAAAGCGGCCUUAAGCUCGGGAGCUGAGCAACUGGGGUCGACCCCAAGGACAGCGUAAGCCGAAGAAUCAGAGAGUUUCGGUUCUUCUCCAGUUCUGUCUCUACAAUUCACUGUAAAUCGAGACGUUGAACUUGAAGAAAACGAUAACGAAGUCUUGAAGGUGGCAGGAAAAUUGAAGCCGUUAAGAUUGGUAACCGAUUUUGAAACGGUAUUGAUCGGAAGGGUUGAAUUGUAGAGAACCAAACACCCCAUCAUCUCCCUCUCUCUGGCUCUGCUGCUUCAUCCCCACACAGAGUGGGCUCCAAACGCCAGACUUAAAACGAUGCGUUUUAAAGGAGGACGACGUCGUUUUGAAGGAUGAGUAAGGAUUAAUUUCAUUGUCUUUUUGGGCUUUUGGCACCACUUUUAAAUAAACUAUCAACUUUACUAAAAACUUAAACUUGUUUGAUUUGGAUUCACAAUAUAUAUUGUUAGCACCAUUGUUUGCAAUUUUUGUAACAACUUACACUCAAUCAUGUAAAUAUUGUUAAUUUUAGGUCUGAAGGGGUCUUCAUGCCUUUAAAACGUAUGUACAAGGUUAAAAAGAGUCUAUACUUGUAUAAUGUUAGGAACUUUUCCUCUUAUUUAAUGUGGAAUAUCACAAAUACAUCAAACAAACCUUCAUAUUGAUUUGUAACAACUUAUACCUAACUUUAUAAAUAUUAUAUGUUUUAGGUCUAAAGGGGUCAUCAUGACUUUAAAACACAUUUACAAGGUUGAGAAGAGUCCAUACAUAUAUAACAAUAAAAACUUUCUCCCCUAUCCGAUAUGAGACAUCACGAUAAGCACAUUUAACUAAGAAGUUUUGAUGUGAUCUGAUGCAUUAGUGUUUGUGUGAUUGCACCCAACCAUGUAGAUAUUGUUCGCUUUAGAACCAAUGAGGCUCACAACUUUCAAACGCAUAGACAAGAUUAAAAAGAGUCUAUACAUAUAUAGUAUUAUGAACUUCCUCUUCUAUCCGAUGUUGGGCAUUACAAUCAUCCCCUCAUGUCGACAUAAUGUCUUCAUUGUGUCCCACGAGAUUAUGGAGCCAAACAAACAAACACCCCUCAUGGGAUCAAACAAACCCCCACACUAAAGUCGAGGAUUGACUCUGAUACCAUUUGUAAUGACUUGCACAUAACUAUGUAAAUAUUGUCUGCUCUAAGACCAAAAGGGCUCCUACAACUUUAAAACGUGUCUAUAAGGUUAAAAAAGUUCAUACUUAUAUAGCAUUAGAAACUUUCUCUCUUAUUCGAUAUGAGAUAUCACAAAUAUUCUCUCAUGCAGACACAACGUCCUCGUUGUGUCUGUAUAGGGGGUAUGAUUGUGAUGUCCCACAUUAGAUAAGUGAGAAAAUUCAUGAUGAUAUAUAAGUAUAAACUCCUCUUAACCUUGUAGAUGCAUUUUAAAGUCAUAAGAGUUCCUUUGAGCCUAAAAUGGAUAAUAUUUAUAUAGUCAGGUAUGAGUCAUUACAAAUGGUAUCAGAACCGAUCAUUGACUUCGAUGUGGGGGUUUGUUUGACCCCAUGGGAGAUAUAUGUCUAUUUGACCUUACAAUCCCAUAAUAUAUAACGAAGAUGUUAUGUUUAUAUGAAAGAGUGAUUGUGAUGUCCCAUAUUAGAUAGGCUUCUUUUAACCCUAUAAGCGCAUUUUUAAGUUAUGAGGACCCAUUUGGGUUUAAAGGGAACAAUAUCUUCAUUGUUGGAUAUUGGUCAUUAUAAUUUUAUUUAUUUUCGUUCUAGUAUAGGGUUUUUUAGACAAUGACUUACUCUUUAUUGAAGAUUUGAGGCUGUCGUUUAAUUAAGCGUACUGUCACAGGUAAGCUUGAAAAGAUUAAAGUUAAAAUAAGCUAGUUUUUAAACAAGGUAUAGUUGGGUCGAAAAUUUUAAAAUUAAGUUAAAAUGUCUUAAGAUGGUUUUUUAAUUUUUAAUUUUUAUUUUUUAUCUUGGCACAUUGUAUGAAGGUUUUUCACAUAAAACUCUUUUGUCUCACGCGUGUUUAUUUGUUUUUUAUAUUGUCCACUUUCUCAAAUAAAUUGAACAUCUCAACUCUUGUAUUAAAAUCUUUAAAAACAUCCAUCUACACCCUGAGGGUGUUUCUCAUAUUAUAUCACAUAACUUUCAGAUAUUGUAAUGGACAAUUGCAAAUUAGGAAAUAAAUAUGUAAAUGGGUACCACUUUUUCUAAAAGCUUUUAAAUUUUUUUCUAUUUUGGGUUAUAAUGUGUAUCAUGUUAUUAAUAAUAUUCUUGCUUUUGUUUCAUGUCAAAUAAAACAAUUUUAAAUUUUCAAACGCGAGAAAAGUCACCCGAUAAAAUGCUUUUUACUCAUAUGCAUUUCAGGGUGUAGGGAUUCUCAUGGAAAACACUUUCCAUGGCUGGCAUGGGAGUUGAAGAAUUCUUGUGCAGCCCAAGGUAAAAGAGGGAUUCAUGUGUUACCUGAAUUGCAUUUUAUCUGAUUUACAAUUUGAUUAUAUGUAUGUUUGUGCAGUCUAGUUCUUGUGUUGCUCAUUUCUAUAUGUGCUAAAUGGAGGAUUUCUUUUUCAUCCGGAACCCUAGUAUUGCAGGAGAUAGUUGCUUUAUGGGUCAGUCUUCUUACCAAAUCUUAACUCUAUGCUGACUUCUUUUUCUUUGAUUUCCUACUCUUUGUUCUGCGUAUGUGUUUUCAACCUAACUAUUUUCAUAGGGAUCAAUGGAAAUUAUGAUUUUUCAAAGAAUAUUGAAAGUAGAAGAAAAUUAAGCAUUUGUGAAAUAUGGAGGAGCAAAAUGAUUUCUUAGUUUUAGCACAUCAGUUUACAGAAGAUAUUGUAAUUUCACAUGAUGAAAAUGAAGAGGGCAACCCGGAUUUCCAAUGGAGGGACUUUUAGGGCUUGGGGGACUAGAAAUGCAAGAUAUAAGUGCAAAAAUUGGAGUUACCCAACCAUAAAUCUGUCCGAAAAACUCGCUGUAAGGGGAGGAUGUUCCUCAUACACAAGAUGGAUUUACUGUGGGGAUAAUUAGAUCCUAGAUGUUUGUAAGACUCAAUUCUAUCCAGUUUGCAUCCUUUUGGGGCUCCAUCAUGUGGGUUCUUUCCCCUUUUCGGUCAUCUUAAACUGGCUCUGAUGGUUGUUCGAUUGGUAACUCCGAAAGAUCAGAAUAGAUGUAUCUGCUAAGAUAAUGGAUGAAAUGAUAUGCUAACUUAGUAACUCGAAAAUAAUGCCCCGUGUGUUCCUCCUAUUAGGGUAUAUUGAAUUCUAAUUCAAGAAAUUUUUGCAGUAUUCAGGGUGGAAGCAGAUCACUUUAUCUUUUGUACUAGGGAUUUAAGAGGUUUAGGCAGAUGCUUGAAAGUUUAUUCAUACUUAUUGUGAAGCAGAUCAUCUGGAAAACUGGGGAGUUAUCAUGCUGAAGACAUUUUUCUCCUUAUUGAAGUUUUCCAAACAAACCCUUCCAUCUAGGGUGAAUUAUUGGUUUCAUUUGGCUUAGUAGGAGAUUUCAGAUAGAAGCCAUCAAUCCUGGCCCUCAAGGGUGGAAUGGUAUGAUUACCAUCUAUGUAAAGACUUUGAAAUUUUUUUGUCAUUAACAAGCAUUUGUCGAUAAAUUUGCUUACCAUCUUCCACAAAUGAAAUUAUGGUUUUGAGUGUAUAAUUAUAGCUGCUUAUGAUGAAAGGGAAAAACACUGGCAAAGGACUCACUGGUUUUUUCUGUACAAAUGGGAGCAAUCUGUUAUUCUGCUUUCUUACUACACACAAGCAACACGAUCAUUUAUAGUUGUAAAUAGAGAGCUCUUCUUCUUACAUAGACUGAGAGUGAUGGAGGUUUACUAUUUUGAGUUCAGUGACAUGUCCACAUUUUCUUCCUUUGCCAUAUAAAGUGUUCCAAAUCCCAUUUCUUUCCAGACAUUCUUUAGCCUUUGAGCAACCGAAGAGAUAAGGGGACGCUUUUGGGGGUUCUCUUCUGUACACAUCAUCCCUGCAUCAAGCAUGUGGAUACAGCAUUGCUCAAGCUUAUGUAAAGCACCACUCCCCUCUUCCAAAUAUGCUUCGUGCUUCAGUGAGAUGUCUACAAUAUCCAAAACUUGAUUUGGAAAAGCAGAACACACCCAUUUCCUUAGAUCAAGUCCAUCUGAAAACAUUUCAUUCGUUGGUCUCUUCCGUGUUAUCAUCUCUAACAUCAUCACUCCAAAACUGUAUACAUCUCCUCUUGUUGAGACAUCGAUCCCCUGCCCAUAUUCUGUGUACAAGCAAUAGGAACUAUUAGCUGAAUCACUAUACUUUUAUUUAUAGCCCUUCAAAUUAGGAUAGUUUAAUGAAAGAGACAUUUAAUGAAAGAGACAUGGAUAGAUGCAGUUGGUUCAUAUUAACUAUCUGAAUAUCACAAGAGGGCAAGCAUCCUUCUUUUUAAAUGCUUCUCAUUGGAAAAGAGAUUAGGGAAUGGAUCCUGUACUUAAAGCAAAGCGGGAGAAUAAGCAACAAGACAUACCAUGUUAAACAAAUUUAUCAUAAUGGUAUAUGAGGAAACACACAAAACCCUAUUUUUUCUUCUGUAUUUCUAUCCUAUUAUUCACAGUUAGUUCUCUAGAAUAUAUGACCAUUGGGUAGGCAGUCAAAUGAAUGGAAACUAGACUAGUUUGAAGUUCAUGUGAGAUGACAGAUUGGCAUUCAUGAUUAAAAGUAAUUAUCUAGUCUGAUAACUUAUCAUUUACUUCUCAGAUUUGAAGGUAGGUCACUAACUGUUCCAAGAACAUUCAAAGGGAUUAUGAAGCAUAGGAUUGAAGAUUUAUAUAAGGUAAUCAAAUGCAUACCUGGGGGGAUAUACCCGACAGAUCCUCGUAGAAAAGCAGUUGUGGUAGUAACAUGUCCUCUUGGUUUGUCACCUGAAAUGAGCUUUCCAAUACCAAAAUCUGCUACAUGAGCCACCAUAUCAUUGUCCAAAAGAACAUUUUGUGGUUUCAGGUCACAGUGUACAACUUGAACAGGACAACCCUCAUGAAGAUACUCCAAGCCAUUUGCAACAUCUAUUGCUAUUCCCAUUCUUUCCCUCAAUUUUAAUUCACUACCUCCUUCAUCUGACCCACCAGGGUAAAGAUGCUGUUCCAAGUUCCCAUUGCCUAUAUAUUCGAGAACAAUAGCCUUGAAUCCUGAAUUCCAGGUCGAUCCUAUCAUUCUAACCAGAUUCCUAUGUCUAAUUUCAGACAGUAUUUGACACUCCCUUUUAAAACUUCUGUAACCCUGAACACACUCUUCUUGCAGAACCUUAACUGCCACAACAGUUUUUCCAUCAUUGAUGAUAGCUUUAUACACCCUACCAAAACUUCCUUUCCCUAACAGAUUAGCCUCAUCAAAACCGCCAGUUGCAAUUUCGAUUUCCCUUUCAGUUAAAGUUUGGGUUCCAUGAUGGGUUGGGGAACACAUUAGAAUUGCAGUCUCCGCACCUGCACUCCUAUUUUUGAAGAAGAAACGACGAACAGUGAGGGCGAUCAGCACAAAGAGAAGCAGAGAACAAGUUAUUAUUGCAAACAAGUAAUAAAUCCAUUUCCUUUUCUUGUGCUUUUGUUUCUGAAUUUCACAUGGAUGGAGACCCAUAAGUUUGGUGCCACCACAGAGCCCCAUAUUCCCCAUGAAUGAGCCGCUUCCUAGAUUUUUAUACCUCCCACUAUUUGGAACCUCUCCUGUUAAUCUGUUAUACGAUAAAUUGAGAUUCUUGAUCUUCUGGCUGUCACCAAUCCAGAUUGGAACAUUUCCUGUUAAAUUAUUGAAAGCCAAGUCCAGAUAUCCUAGAUCAAUGAUUUGCUUCAGGGACUCUGGGAUUGUAGCUUCAAGCAUGUUGUGAGAGAGGUUCAGAUACUCCAUUGAAAUGCAUCUUCCAAUCGAACUUGGUAUCACUCCGAAGAAUUUAUUCGCUGACAAGUCAAUUGCCAGCACAGAUGCCAGAUUUCCAAUACUAGCAGGUAGUUCUCCUUGAAGAUUGUUGUUCGAAAGGUUGAGUGAAAGAGCUAGGUUUGAGAAAUGACCAAUUUCUGUGGGAAGAGACCCUUGUAAGUUGUUAAAAGACAAGUCAAGAAGCAUUAGAAGAGAACAUUGGGUGAGUUGGAUGGGAAUUUUCCCUGUGAGGUGGUUGUGAGACAAGUAAAGAUAUCUCAACUGUGACAGGUUACCAAGAGAAGAUGGGAUUGUCCCACUAAUCAAAUUAUCACUAAGUUCCAGUAAACCAAGGUUAGCCAUCUGCCCAAGUUCAUCUGGAAUUGGCCCAAGAAGUUUGUUUCUUCCCAAGUGUAAUCUCUGCAACUGCCUAAGCUUCCCAAUUGUUGCAGGAACUCCAUUCAAAAAAUUAUACCACAGGUCUAGAGUCACAAGGCCGCUUAGAUUUCCAAUUUCAGCUGGUAGGUCUCCUGUUAAUUUGUUGUUUCGAAGAUUCAAGUAGUAGAGGUCUUUGGAAAGACUGCCAAUUGAAGCCGGUAAACUUCCUGCAAACAGACAUGCCCCUAAGUGCAGUUUCUGUAGACGUGAACAAUUAGUGAGAGGAGUUAGAAAACUGAGGGAAGAGUUGUUGGAACCGCUCACCAGGUUAUUGCUAUGAAGGUAAAGUCUCUCAAGUUUCUUCAACUUCCCCAACUCAGGAGGGACUUCCCCCUCUAACUGGUUGAGGCUAAGAUCAAGCAGUGUCAGCUGAGAAAGAUUGGACAGGGUCACUGGAAUUUUCCCAGAAAGUUGGUUUUGUUGGAAGUACAAUCUCUGCAAGUUAUGGAGCUUUGACCCCAAUUCUAAAGGGAUUGUUCCCGUUAACCGAUUCUCAAACAGUGUAAUGUGACGCAGGGCAGUGCAAUUACUGAUGGAUGCAGGUAUGCUUUCUUCCAAAAAGUUCAUGUGGAGGUACAAUAUCUCCAGCUUUGUUAAUGCUCCUAGCUCCUCUGGAAUCCUUCCUGUGAAGUAAUUAACCUGCAAUUCUAAAUCUUUCAGCUUGGUUAGAUUCGAAAGAAACGAUGGUAUAGCUCCAGUGAGGCUGUUCUGAGAGAGACAUAGGUAUGUCAAGUUUGUCAUUUGGCCCAGUACAGCAGGAAUGCUUCCAGUCAGAUUGGUAUAGUCCAAGUCUAUUGUCUCCAGGCUCCAGCAGCCUUUUAUUGAGGCUGGAAUAUUGCCCCCAAGCUUAUUACGACUCAUGUUUAUGAAUGUUAACUCAGAAAGCUCUCCAAUGGUAGCUGGAAUCCCUCCGUACAAGCUGUUGGCUUGCAAAGAGAGGGUGGUGAGAUGGGAUAGAUUGGAUAUGUAUGGUGAGAUAACUCCCUCUAAGCGCAUGUUUAUGAGCUCAAUGGCUAUGACCCGGUUCUUAAGCUGCUGGUGGCAUGUAAUCCCUGUCCAGUUGCAGAAGAACAUGGUUUCAUUCCAAUCUUGGAGAUGACCAUCUGGAUCACCUGUUAUGCCUUGUUUGAAUUUGAGCAGAGAUUGACAAUCAGUGGAGUUUUUGCAGAGGAAUGUGGAAGUUGAUAGUAGAGCAAGAAAACUAAGAGAGAAAAAUACUGCCACAGCAACGGGAUUGUUCUGAUUGUAUGCCAUUCUCUCUCUCUCUCUCUCUCACUGUGUGUGUGUACAACUUUUGGAAGAAGAUGUUAGAUUUUAGGCCAGGAUUUUUUUCUCACUUGUUAGGUAGUAGUUUAAAUAGAUGGGCUCAGUUGUUCAAAUGGUUCAGACAACUUGGCCUAGUGAGGGGCAGGUGGUGAGCCCUCAUUUAUCACUGGGACCAUAGAUUAGGUAUAGCCAUCACCUGUCUGGGCCCCCCAGUCUCUUAACUACAUUCAAUCCCUUCAAUGCUGUUUGACAUUUUCUUCCAUGACAGAAUUAAUAGCUAUGGAGUUUCCCAAAAUUUGCUCCAAACCCAUUCUCAUGUUUAUUUUAUUUAUUAUUAUUUUCAUAUUUUAUAUUUUGUAUUUAUUUAUUUUUCUUUAUUAUUAUUAGUUAUUAUUUAUUUUAUUUUUUACUUUCCCCCUUUUUUUUAUUUUAAUUUUAUUUUGUUGGUCGAACAUAGAUUUGUAACGCAUGGGAGGAGGGUUGAAUUUCAUGAAAAAAAAAUAAGGGUCGAAAAGAUGAUAAAUGGGAGAAGCUUAUUGUGGGUUUGAUUGGGUACAAAUUCUUUUGUAUAUAUCUAUAUAAUUGAAUAUUUAAUUUAGGAAAAUCCAAAAAAUUGUUUCAAUGAAAUUCAAAAAAUUGUUUUUAAGAACAAUUGCCUGAAAAAUUAUUUAUUUAAUAAAAAUUGUUUUUUCGAUUAAAUUGUCCCAAAAGUUAAUUUUUAAUAAUAUUAUCUUAAAAAGUGAAAAUUUAAAUUAAACUCUAUUUCCUUAAUUAAAAUGGGAUAAAAAGUAAUUUUUGUAAAUUAAUGUCUUAAAUAAUCUUUUCAUAAUAAUAGAAUGAGAAUCUUUUUUGCAAAUUGAAGUUAUAGAAAUCAUAUUCUUUUUGUCAAAUUGAAAUACUUUUGUAAAUAAAGUUAAAAAAUUUAUUAUUUUUCUAGUAAAAGUAAGUAAAAAUCAUUUUUAUUGUCAAAUUAGAAUUUUUUAAAUAAAUUCUAUGCAAAUAAAAUUGAAUCUAAUCAUUUAUUUUUGUAAAUAAAUAAAUUAAAAUAUUAAAAAAGUAAUAUUUAAAAUAUAUUUUUUAAUCAAUUUAAUAAAUCAAUUUGUAUAAUUCUAAUGUCAUUUAUUUUUUUUAUUUUUUAAAUUUAAUUUUAUAAUUAUUUUCUUAUAUAUUAAUUUGUGUCUUUAAUCUUUAUAUUCAUGAUUAAUCAAUUAACUAUCAUAAUUCCUUUUAUUUGUUUAGUAAAGAUUGUUAGUAUACAUGCUUAGAGGGAUAUUACGACUUAUUAUGGUACAUUCACGAUAAGCAACUUAAACCUUAAAUCUAGACUUGAUUUUACAAAAAUGUCUUUUCUAAAUAAGGAGUUAUACAAAGUUUUCUUUCUUAUUUUGUUUUUUCUUUUAAAAAAUAAACUAAAAUAUGUGGCAACCCUAAUCUAUUCAAAAAAUCAAAUUUUCACAAUAAAAUUGAGUCUCAUUGUCGGGGAGACACACCAAAAAAUAAGGGUCGAUAGACAUCCAAUUGAUUGGGAUCAAUGUCAAGAUGUAUGAUAAAGUUGCAUAAUUUGAAUAUAAAUCCUGCCAUUGAUUGAAUCUUGAACUACUCAAUACUGGUUGUAAUAGGUGAGGUGAGUUGCUAAGGUUUGGGUCGAAAAGCUCAGCCAUGGAAAGUUACUAGUCAUCUAAAUAUGUAUAUAAAUCAAAGUGCACACAAUUGAUUUUCUUUUUCUCUUUUAAAUCUAAGAAAUCAACCUCCUUAAGAAAUCAACCUCCUUAAUGUAAUUCUUAGAGCAAAUUACAUUAAGAGAGCGUUUGACAGUGAUUUUAGGAAGUAUUUUUAAUUUUUUUAAUACUUAAAAAAUAAAAAUUUUCAAGUAUUAAAAAGGUUAGAAACACUUCCUAAAAUCAAUGCCAAACACACUCUUAACGUAAUUUGCUUUAUCUACCACUUGAUGUGGAUGUUAAGAUUGAUUUCCUUUGCCAUUGCCUAUAAUCCUUAUCCAUAAUAGCAAGAAGACAUACAUUGAAACAUGAAUACCCUUCCAUUAUGUUUGGUUUCAAAAAACACUAAGAAAAGAAAAUAUUAUGAAAAAUAUUUUUCUUAUAUUUAGUUUUAUUAUGAAAAAUGAGAAAAUAAAAUAAAAUGUAAUUAUAAUUAAUUAAAAAUAAUGUAUUUUAAAAUUAUUUAAUAUUUAUAUAAUAAAGGAGAAUAAAUUAAACGAGUUUGAAAAAGUAUAUAAAAAUAAUUUAUUAAUUAUAACUUGUAUGUGAUUAUUUUAUACUUUAAUUUCAUUUUUCUUUUAUUCUCUUUUAUGUACCUUGAUUUUAUAUAUUUGUAUCUUUAUUCAAUGUUUAGAUUUCAUAUAUUUAUAUAUUUAACUGACAUUGCAAGAUCUGUAUUGAUUGAGAUUAGGGAUGGCAACGCACUAUGCUUGAGAUAGGUUACUCAUAUCUCAAUCCAUUAUAUUUAUUCGUAUAUGUUAUCAUCCCUACAAAAAAAAAAAAGAAGGAAAUUAAAUGGGAUGAGUCAUGUAUAAGAAAUUCUUAUACCUGCCUCAUACUAUCCCAUUUAUUUCUUUUUUCAAUUGCUUUUCAAUUUUUAUUUUUAAAAUUUUAAGAAAAUUAAUAUUUUAAAUAUGUUAAAAAAAUUGAAAAUUGAAAAACGAAAUCAAUUAAAAUAAAUUUUUAUUUAACAUUAUACAUAAUUAGGGUGAGGUAGGAUGAGACAAACUCAUACCCAAAAUCACCCCGAAUCAAUCUCAGGUUUUAAAAAAGUUCUCAGAUUCAAGAUGAGACAAAAUCAUAUCCAAAACUACCUCAAAUCCAUCCUAGAUUUUAAAAAUUUUCUCAAAUUUAUCUAAACUCAUUUAUUAUUAUCUCAAAACGAGCCCAUUAAGGUUAAGACGAGUGCAAAAAAAAUUGGUAUAUUGUCAUCCCUAAUCAAGAUCCUAAAUUUUUUCUUUAUGAUAGUGAAAACAACAAUCAUAGCCGUCAUCUCUCUUUCAGUUUACUUGUAAGUUUGAUUGAAUACACUUUAUGUGAUUUUUUAAAAUACUAAAAGUAAGAGGGUGUUUGUUUUUUAAUUUGCUUUUUGCUUAAGUCAAAUUGUUUUCAAAAUUUAGGUUGUUUGUUUUUCUACUUUUUCAUAACUUAUUAUUGAAUAGAAAAAACUAAAAUAUUUAAUUUUUUUUAAAUAGAAAAAAUAAUAUAUUGAUUUUUCUUUAUUUUUUUAAUACUUAAUAGAAAUAAAAUACUACAAAAACAAACAAUCUAAUAUUUAAUACUAUUAAACAUUAAGUUUCUAUUUAAAAUUAAGCAAAAAACAAACAUCAAUGACUUUUUUUUUUUUUACUUUUUAGUACUUAAUAAAAAUAAAAUAUUAAAAAAAACAAAAAUUUUGAUAUUUAAUACUUUUAAACACUAUUUAAAUUUUAAGUUUUAUUUAAAAUUAAGUUAAAAAAAAGGAACACUCCUUCGUCUGAAAUUUUUAGGUCAAAGCUUAGUCUGACCCUCAUCUAAACCCGAGCCAAACUUCAACCAAAAAGACGUGCGUCUAGCGCAGUUACAUGUGUAGCAUCCAAACGCUAGACUGGGUGGGUUUUAUCAAACCCGACCAAUUCAUCCCCUUUGCCUUAAGUUGACCACCCGGUUCGGACCAGCCUUGACAUGAACUGCAAGGUCCAAUGGAUUGGGUUGAUUUGGGGUCUUGGGUUUUUUUUUUUUUUUUUUUUUUAUAGACCAGAGUGGUGAGUUAGUCUUUGCAUAAACUCACCAAGUCUUCAAUGGGUAGUUUUUUCUUCUUUCUUUUUUUGGCUUUCGAGGACAAGCGGUUACACCAAUACAUGUUGAUUUACGUAGGAUUAGUCAGUAUACAGAUCUUAACCAGACUAUAAAGAAAUGUACAAUCAGGUGGAGGCAGGUCCAAUUUAAUAUCAAUCUGCAUGAUCCAUACGUUUACAUAUAUAGUAGAGUUUUCUGCUCUUUUAUUAUCGGUACCCAAGCACUGAAAAAUCUGUAAAAGUAGUGUCAUUAAAAUAUGUUUAUUAGGUCAUUGGAUUAGGCAUGCGGACGUGGGCGUUGAGUAUGCUUUUACUUGCGAGUGUCUUGCUACCUUAGACACGAAACCCUCCUCUUCCACUCAUUUUGUUGCGGAAGGAGGCCAGGCCAUUCUUAUUCAAACAAAUUAGCUGGGAACUUUGAAAUCUUAAACCGUUGUAGAUAUGUGAUAAACUAGUACACCUUGUAUGAGAUAAUCUAAUCCUGAUUAUUUCUAACAUUGUCAAUUUUAAUCAGCUCCGGCCUGUAUGUUGUUGGACCAGUUUUACACAAACACGUAGUUCACAUGGAAGUGGGUCCUGAGGUCAGUACCUGUUACAUCUCCAACCACAAAAGAAUUAACUAAAAAUCAAAUGUGCAAUACGAGUACAAUCAGUAAUGGGGCAGCGCACUGACUUUGAAUUAUAUGGUUUAACCAUUAAACACUUUGAAUUUCUUCAUCACGUAAUCCAAAAGUCUACCUCCUCCUCCUCCUCCUCCUCCUCCUCCUCCUCUCUCUCUCUCUCUCUCUCUCUCUCUCUCUCUCCAUGGAGUCUCCCAGCACCAUCAGACUUGCCACUUCUCUCUGCUGUAUUUGCGUGCUUUUAUCUUUUACUGCCACGGUGAUCAACCCUGUUGUUGCUUUGGAAAAUUGCAAAUUUCCAGCAAUCUUUAACUUUGCAGACUCCAAUUCAGACACAGGCGGAUAUGCUGCUGCCUUCUCUCAACCUCCCUGGCCUUAUGGGAGGACCUUUUUUCGCAUGCCAGCAGGCAGAUUCUCAGAUGGUCGCCUCAUGAUUGAUUUCAUUGGUACGAUUUACCUUCUCUUUAAACCUAUUUUCUGCAUAUCUACCUCUCCUUGGCCAAGAGCCAGUGUUUAUAAAAUCGGUACAGGGGACAAGAAAAGCCAAAUUCAGACAUUCAUUUUUAAUUUCAUUUUCCAUCAAAAUUAGAAAAAGGCCUAGCAAAUGUACUGUUUUAGUCUAGGCCUAACAAAAACUUGGCAGCAUUAUUGAUUUGGGCAAAAUUUACAUGGUUUCAGCCAACAGUUUUGGUCUACCAUUUCUUAGUGCUUAUCUUAAUUCUCUGGGGUCCAAUUACACAAAUGGUGCAAACUUUGCCACGGCUGCUGCUACAAUCCGAUUACCGACUAGAAUAAUACCUGCAGGUGGGUUCAGUCCAUUCUACCUGGGCUUGCAAUACGAUCAGUUUGUGCAAUUCAAGUCCAGAACACUAAAGAUAAGGAAACGAGGUGAUAAUUUAACAUUAAUAGACGUUUUGUAGUGCAUAGCAAUAUAAAUGAUAUUUUUCUAAGUGGCUUUUAAUGAUUUUUAGGUGGGGUGUACAAGGACUUAAUGCCCAAGGAAGAGUAUUUUCCCAAAGCUCUAUACACGUUGGACAUCGGUCAGAAUGAUCUUGGUGAAGGGUUCUUUGCUAACAUGUCUAUCCAGGAAGUCAAUGCAACCGUCCCUGAUAUAAUCAAUGGUUUCUCCACCAAUGUUAGGGUAAUCCUUAGAUUAGGGACUUCGAUUUAAUGUAUAUUUUGAAGCAUUUCCUUUCUGGGUCUCGUUUUUUCAUAGCUUUUUUCUCUCUGUUACAACUUAUUGCAUGGUACUGAGACUAUGUACAUGAAUGAAUCACAUGAUGAUGCAGCGUAUUUACAAGUCGGGAGCAAGAUCAUUCUGGAUUCACAACACAGGACCCAUCGGCUGCCUCCCCUAUAUCUUGGCCAAUUUUCAGGCAGCUCAAAGGGACAGUGCCGGUUGUUCAAAGCCUCACAAUGAAGUGGCUCAGUACUUCAACUACAAGUUGAAGGAGGCUGUUUCCCAACUCCGGAAGGACUUUCCUUUAGCUGCAAUUACAUAUGUCGAUGUCUACUCUGUCAAGUAUUCCCUCUUUAGCCAACCCAAGAAAUAUGGUAAGCCAUAUGAUGAUAUAUAUAUAGGAAAAUAGUUGCUCGUGUCAUCUAACUUUACCUCAUUUAUGCACCAUGUUGUUAAGAAAUUAUGCUUUUCUCAUAAUCUGCAGGGUUUGAGCUUCCACUUGUGGCUUGCUGUGGCUAUGGAGGUGAGUACAACUACGGCAAUGAUGCUGGCUGUGGUAGUACCAUCACUGUUAAUGGUAGCCAAAUUUUUGUGGGAUCAUGUGAGCGCCCUUCACUUCGAGUGAAUUGGGAUGGAAUUCACUACACUGAGGCAGCUAACAAAUUUGUUUUUGAUCAAAUCUCCAGUGGAGCAUUUUCAGAUCCGCCUCUGCCCUUAAGAAUGGCAUGUCAUAGGAACACUUCAUAUUGAUUUUUGUCUACUUGGAAGGCAGACCAACAUGCACUUCUGUUGGUAUUAUCAUUAAUGUAUGCUCCUGGUUCUGGGUAAUAAGCAUCAUGCAUUGAUCAAAGGGUAGCCUAAAAUGUACCUUUCUUGUAUGUAAUAAGCAUCUAACUCAACAGAGUUAGUGUACUCAUGCUCUCUGAUAUAUUUGGCAAAGCCCAUGUCCUUUAUUGCAGAACCUGCACUUUAUUUGUUGACUACGCUGCACAAGGGAAAUAAUUUUGCAGAGAAAAUGACAGCAUUAAGAAUUAAACAAAAGAUAAGUAUAAAAGUAAUAACCACACACGUUAACAUCAUAAUAUCUAAACACACCCAUCAGGCCACACCAUUGGACAUCUAAACACACCCAUGAUGUCCGAAAUUUGAACCGAAUCAUUUUCACAUAUUCAGCAUCAAAAUUGCACAAUGACUUGAAUGUCAAACGAUAAAUUUCCUAGGAUGAGAAGUUGUUUUAAUAAAUUUCCUAUAAACGAUAGGAAGUCCAGCGUGGCUUGGCAUUAUUUUAAGACCAAAUAUGGCCACCUGGUGUGCUAAGAAGCAUUUGUAGUAGAAUUUCCAAAUCCGUCUGGUGGAGUUGAGUAUGUAAGUGCUGAAAUUAUUAAUGUGGUUGCAGUCAUCGUGAAAAGAAUUAAUGUCAUGACCCAAUAGACCUUUAUAAGAAGUUGGAUUUAGAGGUUUGUUCACAGUGGAUGUCAUGAGAUUUCUGGGCUUUCAUUUCCAUUCUUUCCUCACUAUUUCAUGACACUGAUGCUUCUCCCACCAUUCAUAUGGUUUUACUCGGACGUCUUAAUUAGUUUUUUCGAUCUCAGUUGAUGGGGGUUAUAAUGGGAGAAUUUAGAGAAGCAAAUUAAUGGCAUCUUUCCAUUACAGGAUUAUAUGAGGUUGUUGGCCAUGGUUCAAAGUCAUGGUAUCGGUCACCAACUCGGUAAGUCCCGAGGCACAUCGGUCUCGACAUCUUGGAUCGAUAUCGGGUGAUACGCAAAAAAUUAUAGUUUAAAAACUCAAAACAAUUUAAAAAGAUUACAAAAAUAAAUACAAAUAAAUAAAGUUAAAAAUUAAUAAAAUAAACUUUUAUUAUAUAUAAAAUUAUUCAAAUUAUGAUAAAAACAUACCUUCAUAAUGAUUUAUAAAAAUAUAAAAAAAUUAAUUUAAGCACUUAAUAUUAAAUAUGCAUCAUUAAAGAUGAAAAUAAUAAAAAGUGAAUUUGUUGUUUAUAAUUUUUUAAAAAUUAAAUAUUUUGAAUUUUUUAAAAAUAUUUUCAAUCUUAAAAAAAAUACAUCUAGGAAUCAUCUUUGAAAAAAAUAAACAUCAUUUUUCUUAUCAAAUGUAUUCUAAAUAAAACAAUUAUAAAAAUGGAGAAUUUUUAUUUGAAUGAGCAUAUUUGAAUAUAAUAUAUUUUUUCUAUACAUCUAUUCAUUUGAAUUGAAUUUUUAUAUUAAUAUUUAUUUUCUAUUUUAUUUAUGUAAACCUAAAUAUUCAUUAUUAAUUUGCCAUAAUCCUAAGCACAUCAAAUUUGCAUUAUCCAUUUAAAUACAAUUAUUCACCACAUAUUCAUUAACUACUUAUUUGUAAUCCUAUCAAAUACCCAUAAACCAUUCACCUCGCAAACACAUAUUUCCUUUUUUUUGCACAAUACCCAUUUCCCCUCUAAAACAACAGUUUGAGCUCUCUACUUCUUUGCACAAUACCUAUAUUUGAAGGUUGAAAAAAUAACCCCACAAAGAUACAAGAGGAUGGAGAUGCAAAUAUAAGGAUGAAGAUGCACAGGGUUUGAAGACUUGAAACUCUCCAUACUUCUUCACUUUCAUGGGUUUCGAUAAUCUCACUACAAGGAAAAAGGUAUAUGGUGACAUUUAUAACGAGUCACCAUAAACAUAAGGUGUCGCUACAACAUAGCGUCACCUUCUCCACUGACACCAUAGAGGGUACCAAUUGGUGACGUAUUUGAAAGUGACACCAAAGUAGAUAAAUGGUGACCCAUUCAGAAGUGACACCAUAUAUUUCUAGUGAUGAUAGGGUGUCACAUUAAAUACAUCAUCUUUAAGUUAUGAUGUCACAUUAAAUGCAUCACCUUUGAAUUAUGGUAUCACAUCAUUGUAAAUUAUUGUGGAAUAUAUGAUUGGUUUUAGUUGUUGAUUUUUGUAAUGCUUAUGAAUUAAUAAGAUUAACCUGUUUAUAUUUUGUCCAUAAAUAUAACAAUCAUAUUAUAUUUAACUCAUUUUUCUGUAAUGUUUCUGAAAUAACUCAUAAUACAUUGAUCAUCUAAUAAUAUUUGUAUAUCAAAUGGUCACAAAAGGAUAGUACGUNNNNNNNNNNNNNNNNNNNNNNNNNNNNNNNNNNNNNNNNNNNNNNNNNNNNNNNNNNNNNNNNNNNNNNNNNNNNNNNNNNNNNNNNNNNNNNNNNNNNAAAAGGUAUAUGGUGACAUUUAUAACGAGUCACCAUAAACAUAAGGUGUCGCUACAACAUAGCGUCACCUUCUCCACUGACACCAUAGAGGGUACCAAUUGGUGACGUAUUUGAAAGUGACACCAAAGUAGAUAAAUGGUGACCCAUUCAGAAGUGACACCAUAUAUUUCUAGUGAUGAUAGGGUGUCACAUUAAAUACAUCAUCUUUAAGUUAUGAUGUCACAUUAAAUGCAUCACCUUUGAAUUAUGGUAUCACAUCAUUGUAAAUUAUUGUGGAAUAUAUGAUUGGUUUUAGUUGUUGAUUUUUGUAAUGCUUAUGAAUUAAUAAGAUUAACCUGUUUAUAUUUUGUCCAUAAAUAUAACAAUCAUAUUAUAUUUAACUCAUUUUUCUGUAAUGUUUCUGAAAUAACUCAUAAUACAUUGAUCAUCUAAUAAUAUUUGUAUAUCAAAUGUUCACAAAAGGAUAGUACGUCCAACAUAUCAAACCCAUCAAAACUAAUAAAGAAGAGUGAAUACAUACCAAAACAUGAUUUAGAAAUGUUAAAGAUCCCAAGAUUCAUGUAUACCUCCAUUUCAUAAGCAUAAAACCGGCUAACCAUAAAAUGACAUAGAAGUCCCAUCUAAAAAUCUAAAUUUCUCAGUUGCAAUUAAAGUAACGUUUAUGUCCUACAACGUAUGAUAUAAGAGUUGCAUUUAAAACCCAAAAUCUUGUUGCCUUCUUCUUUCUUUUUAUUCUCCAUUUCACCCUCCCAAGAGUGUAUACCUGCAUUUCAAAAUUUAAUGAGUUUUAGAGAUUUUUAUUGAAGAAAAUAAACAUGGAUCUAUGUUAUCAUAAAUGAACAAAUCUAAGAAUUUUUUUUUUUUUUUCAAAUAGAAACAUUAUUCAAAGAAUAAGCAUUACUAUACAAUACCUAUGGAAAAAUUCAUGUAGUAGCUAAGGGACUCACCAUGAAUGGUGAUCAUGAUGCAUCAACAUGAUUCAUGAUUAGUUGUAGCACAAAAGUAGCCCAUUCUCCUCUAAUUUCAUCGAAUUCUACUUGAGAAUAUGGUUUUUUUAUUGCCAAACUGAAAUCAAAUAAGAAAAUAACAUUAAAAUGCAUAACAUUUGGAAGCCUAAAACUAUGUACAAUUCAUUAAAUAAGUAAUACCUUUGAAGCAAUAAUUGUAGGAUAAAAAAUUAUCUCUUUAAUGAAUCUCAUAACAAAGUAGCCACAUUCGAACCCUCCUUCUUGUCUUGGACACUAAUCGAUCAAUUAUAAAAUAACAUUAGUACUCACAUAUAUAAAUGGUGCAAAUGCAUAAGCUAAUGUGUAAAGAAAAAUUUUUGGAUGUCACCUGCACUAGUUGCUAAGAUGGCUCCCUCUUAGAUGUUUUCUUUGCAGAUAUUCGAAGAGCCCUAUGUAAAUAAGUUCAAUGGGUACAUUUUUAAAAUAGGUAAAUGUUAUAUGUUUUAAUAUAUAUAAAUAUAAAAAAAUGUGUUUGAGGUGAAUGUAUUUUUUUUUAUUUAAAAAUAAUACUAUGAAAAAUAAUAGGAAGAACUUACAUGUUUACGAUAUCCUUUAAGUCCUCACAUGGUUUGUGAUGCAUAGGGUCAAGAUAGUGGACUAUCAUUUUCCUUGGCUCAAGCACUGCCUAAAUAUAAACCCUUUAAGUCCUCAUAUCUAUUUCUAUUAACAAAAUAUAAAAACUUUCCAAAACUCAACUACUUAAAUAUAAAAACAAAAUCAAAUAAAAUAUCUAGCUAAUUGGAUUUUAGAAACUAAAUAAACUAUAAAUAAACUAAAUAUAAAAAGUAAAUAAAAUAUCUAUGCCCAUGAAUUAAUUGAAGAUGAUAGAAAGACACAGAGAGAACAUAGCUAUGGUUAUGAUUUCCAUCUUAUCAUCUCCCGUCAAUACCACACAUGCCCAUUUUAAGGUUGGACACUACUUUUGCUGCUGGACUUGGAAAGGGAACUUCAAAAUUGAAAACAUAAAUAAACCUUUAUGUAAAAAAAAAAAACAUUAAAAUAUAAUUGAGCAUUAAAAUAUUUACUCUCUUUCAUCACUUUCAUUUGAAUAUUAAUAAUCUCUUAUUGAGAUAGAUAUUUACAAUUUAACAAAAUAGAAAUUCCUAAUGAUAAAAAAUAUAAAAAUUUCUAUUUCUAUUAACAAAAUAUAAAAACUUUCCAAAACUCGAAUACUUAAAUAUAAAAACAAAAUCAAAUAAAAUAUUUAACUAAUUGGAUUUUAGAAACUAAAUAAACUAUAAAUAAACUAAAUAUAAAAACUAAAUAAAAUAUAUAUGCCCAUGAAUUAAUUGAAGAGGAUAGAAAGACACAGAGAGAACAUGGCUAUGGUUAUGAUUUCCAUCUUAUCAUCUCCCGUCAAUACCACACAUGCCUUCCCGGAUUGGUCCUUUUGGGGUUGGAUACUCUCAACGAAAUUCUAUAUCUCAUUCCCACUUAGAUACAAACAGAAAAAUCAUUCUCUUUUUUUAGAAAGGAUGAAGAUUAUGUGAUGGUAUAUCUUAAAAAAAUUUUGUACCUGUCAUUCUCACACAAAUACAUAUUAAAAAUCAUUCAUUUUUUUUCCUGUUUUUCACUUUUUUUUUAAGGACUUGAUCAUGUGUUUGGUUUAGAUUAAAAAAAUCAAUUAAUCUAUAGUUUUUUCUUCCAUGCUAGAAGAUUAAACCUAAAUUUUUCUUCCCUACAACUCAAGAAAACACAAUUCACAAAAACCAUAAUACAAAGAUGUUGAAACAAUUAAUAUAAUGACAUUAAUAAAAGAAAAAAAAAUGAUAGAUCCAAGAUAUUUUGGGUUACCUAGGAGUCCACAAAGUGAAGAAUGUCGGUUUUGAGCGUGUUGACUAUGGAUGGGUGAGAGAAAAGGUUGAAGAAGAUCAUGAUUUUAUAUAUAGGAUUUAUAUAUUGAGAUUUUUUGGAUUGUGGGUGAGAUAUGGAAACAAUGGGAUUUUUGUAUGGUACCCAUCAUUAUUAAUUCUAAAAGUGGGCUCAUUAAGUUAUAAUACUUAAAAAAAUUUAUUUUAUAUGAUGUCACUUCCCAAAAAAUGACACUAUAAAUAUAAAAUUAAUAUCAUCUAACUACCUCAAUUGAAGAUUUUUUAUAUGAUGUGUCACCUUUAUUAAUUAUAAACCCUAUGGUGUCAUUAUUUUAAAAGUGACACCGUAAAUAGUGACACCAUAAACUAUUUUUGUAGUAGUGUCUUCUCUCAUCCACCAUUUUCGCUUCAAUAUUACCUUUUUUUUCCAUCACCCAAAGAGCUUAGUUUGAAUAUAAUAUUAGGCUUAUCUCAAAGUUUCUUUGUGAUUUAAAAAGUUUAUUCAUGCGUCAACCAAAUAUUGGACUCAGGUAUCGAUCCAGUACGGGUCAUGAGCUCUUUAUUUAUUUGUACAACACCCAUUUUUGAAGGCUCACAACACAACCCUACAAAGAUACAAGAUGAUGAAGAUGCAAAUACAAGGAUGAAAUGCAAAGUGUUUGAAGACUCUGUACUAUUUAUAUUUCUUCACUUUCAUGGGUUUCGAUAUUCUUCUCUCAUCCACCAUUUUCGCUACAAUAUUACUAUUUUUUUCCAUUACCCAUCACUCUAAAAGCUUAGUUUGGACAUAAUCUUUAGGUUAUCUCAAAGUUUCUAUGCGAUUCAACAAGUUUAUUUCAUUAGAUAACCAAAUAUUAGACUCAGAUAUCAAUUGAUAUCGGUCAUGGCCAAGGCGGAUGUAACUCGGUCAAGUCGUACUAGUAUUGACUAAGAUUUUGAACCCCAUUUGAGCUCUCUAUUUCUUUGCACGUACAAUGCCCAUUUUUGAAGGCUCACAAAAUAGCCCUAUGAAGAUACAAGAGAAUGGGGAUGAAAAGGGUUUGAAGACUCUGAACUCUUCAUACUUUUUCACUUUCAUGGGUUUCGAUUUUUUUCUCUCAUCCACCAUUUGUACUCCAAUAUUACCAUUUUUUUCCAUCAUCUACCACCUGAAGAGCUUAGUUUGGAGAUAAUCUUGGGGUUAGCUCAAAGUUUCUUUGUGAUUUAACAAGUUUAUUCAUGAGUCAACCAAAUAUUGGACUUAGGUAUCGGUUCGACAUUGAUCAUGGCUGAGGCAGAUAUGACUCAGUCGAGUCAUACUAGUCUCAAUCAAGAUUAUGAACCCUGUUUGAGCUCUCUAUUUCUCUACACAAUACCCAUUUUUGAAGACUCACAAAAUAGCCUUAUGAAGAUACAAGAUAAUGGAGAUCCAAAUAUAGGUGUAGGUCCUUAGGCGCUACCAACUUUCCUAAAAGCAAUUGCUGUUAGGAAAGGCGCAUACCUUACCCUUAUAGUGCAUUCACCCAAGCGCCCAUGGCGAACACAAGGGGAGUUGAUGGAUGUGGCCAACCUUCCGAUCUGUCAACAAUCUUCCCCCCUAGCGACACCCCUGGGGUUUGAAUCCAUGAACUUAGCUCUGAUACCACUUGUAGGACCUCAGGUGCUACCAACUCUCCUAAAAGCAAUUGCUGUUAGAAAAGGCGCAUACCUUAACCUUAUAGUGCAUUCACCCAAGUGCCCAUGGCGAACACAAGGAGAGUUAAUGGACGCGGCCAACCCUCCGAUCUGUCAACAAUAAGGAUGAAAAUCCAAAGGGUUUGAAGACUCUGAACUUUCCAUAUUUCUACACUUUCAUGGGUUUCGAUCUUCUUCUCUCAUCCACCAUUUUCACUCCAAUAUUACCAUUUUUUUUCUAUCAACCAUCACCCAAAGAGCUUAGUUUGGACAUAAUCUUAAGGUUAUCUCAAAGUUUCUUUGUGAUUUAGCAAGUCUAUUCGCGAGUCAACCAGAUAUUAGACUUGAGUAUCGGUCUGGUACUGGUCAUGGCCGAGGCAAAUAUGACUCGGUUGAGUCAUACCAAUCUCGAUUGAGAUUUUGAACCUUGUUUGACCUCUCUAUUUCUUUAUACAAUACCCAUUUUUAAAGGCUCACAAAAUAACCCUAUGAAGAUACAAGAUGAUAAAGAUGCAAAUACAGGGAUGAAGAUGCAAAAGGUUUGAAGACUCUGAACUCUCCAUAUUUCUUUGCUUUCAUGGGUUUCAAUCUUCUUCUCUCAUCAACCAUUUUUGCUCCAAUGUCACCAUUUUUUUUCACCACCCAUCACCUGAAGAGCUUAGCUUGGACAUAAUCUUUAGGUUAUCUCAAAGUUUCUUUGUGAUUUAGCAAGUUUAUUCAUGAGUCAAUCAAAUAUUGGAUUUGGGUAUCAGUCUGAUACUGAUCAUGGUUGGGACAGAUAUGACUCGGCUGAGUCUUACCGGUUUCGACCAAGAUUUUGAACCCUGUUUGAGCUCUAUAUUUCUUUACACAAUACUAAUUUUUAUAAAAUAACCCUACGAAGAUACAAGAGGAUGGAGAUGCAAAUACAAGGAUGAAGAUGCAAAGGGUUUGAAGAGUUUGAACUCUCUAUACUUCUUCACUACCAUGGGUUUCGAUCUUUUUCUCUCAUCCACCAUUUUUCCUCCAAUAUUACCAUUUUUUUUCAUCACCCAUUACCCGAAGAGCUUAGUUUGGACAUAAUCUUAGGGUUAUCUCAAAGUUUCUUUGUGAUUUAACAAGUUUAUUCAUGAGUCAACUAAAUAUUGGACUUGGGUAUCGGUUCGAUAAUAGUCAUGGCCAAGAUUUUGAACCCCUUUUUAGCUCUCUGUUUCUCUGCACAAUACCCAUUUUUGAAGGCUCACAAAAUAACCCUACAAAGAUAUAACAUGAUAGAGAUGCAAAUACAGGGAUGAAGAUGCAAAGGGUUUGAAGACUCUGAACUCUCCAUACUUCUUCACUUUCAUAGGUUUCGAUCUUCUUCUCUCAUCUGUCAUUUCAGCUCCAAUAUUACAAUUUUUUUCCAUGACGCAUCACUCGAAGAACUUAUUUAGGACAUAAUCUUAGGGUUAUCUCAAUUUUUUUUAUUUUAUUUUUGUGAUUCAACAAGUUUAUUCAUGAGUUAACCAAAUAUUAGACUCGGGUAUUGGUCUAGUACUAGUCAUGGUCGAGGCGGAUAUUACUUGGCCGAGUCGUAUUGAUCUCGACCGAGAUUUUGAAUCCUAAUUGAGCUUUCUAUUUCUUUUCACAAUACCCAUUUUUGAAGGCUCACAAAAUAGCCCUACAAAGAUACAAUAUGAUGAAGAUGCAAAUAUAGGGAUGAAGAUGCAAAUAUAGGGACGAAGAUGCAAAGGGUUUGAAGACUUUGAGCCCUCCAUAUUUUUUCACUCUCAUGGGCUUUGAUCUUCUUCUCUCAUCCACCAUAUACGCUCCAAUAUUACCAUUUUUUCCAUCACCCAUCGACAUAAUCUUAGGGUUAUCUCAAAGUUUCUUUUUUAUUCAACAAGUUUAUUCAUGAGUCAACCAAAUAUUGGACUCGGGUAUCAGUUCGGUAUCGAUCAUGGCCGAGGUAGAUAUGACUUGGCCGAGUCGUACCAGUCUUAACCGAGAUUUUGAACCUUGAUUGAGUCGUACCAGUCGUACCAGUCUUAACCGAGAUUUUAUUUGCACAAUACCCAUUUUUUAAGGCUAACAGAAUAACCCUACGAAGAUACAAGAGGAUUGAGAUGCAAAUAUAGGAAUGAAAAUGAAAAGGGUUUGAAGACUCUAAACUCUUUAUACUUUUUCACUUUCAUGGGUUUCAAUCUUCUUCUCUCAUCCACCAUUUUUGCUCCAAUAUUACCAAUUUUUGCCAUCACCCAUCACCCAUCAUCCAUCACCCAAAAAGCUUAGUUUGGACAUAAUCUUAGAGUUAUCUCAAAGUUUCUUUUUUAUUCAACAAGUUUAUUCAUGAGUUAAUCAAAUAUUAGACUCGGGUAUUGAUCCGAUACCGAUCAUGGCUGAAGCAGAUAUGACUCAAUCAAGUCGUAUGAGUCUCAACCGAGAUUAUGAACCCUAUUUGAGCUCUUUAGUACUCUACACAAUACCCAUUUUUGAAGUCUCACUAAAUAGUCCUACGUAGAUGCAAGAUGAUGGAGAUGCAAAUAAAUGGAUGAAAAUCCAAAGGGUUUGAAGACUCUGAACUUUUUAUAUUUUUUCACUUUCAUGGGUUUUGAUAUUUUUCUCUCAUCCACCAUUUCCACUUCGAUAUUACCAUUUUUUUCCAUCACCCUAAGAGCUUAGUUUGGACAUAAUAUUAGGGUUAUCUCAAUUUUUCUUUGUGAUUCAACAAGGUUAUUCAUAACUCAACCAAUUAUUGAACUCGGGUAUCGGUCCGAUAUCGGUCAUAGCAGAGGCCGUUAUAACUCGGUCGAGUCAUACUGAUCUUGACUGAGAUUUUGAACCCUAUUUGAGCUUUCUAUUUCUCUGCACAAUACCCAUUUUUGAAGGCUCACAAAAUAGCCCUGAGAAGAUCCAAUAUGAUGAGAUGCAAAUCUUACUCCUUGAAUUUCUGGCAAUAAUUGGUUUAUUUUUUUAAUUCUGAAAUAUUUUUUAAAAUUAAAUAUUUGUUAAUGAAACAAAAACACUAACUCUUUCUUGAUUUGGAGUUUAUUUGUUGAAUGAAAAAAUUUGGAUAAUUAUGAUUCUGUGCAUAAGAGAAAUAAUGAAUCAAUCGUUGUUCAUAAAUUCAUAAAAUUGGAUUAGUAUUUGAGUUUCAAAUUAUUUUUAAAAGUGACUACAUUCAUUAAUGAAUCUAAUACACUAGGUUCCUCUUUAGGAUGAAUUUUGAACGAGGUUAAAAGCAUUUCCUAAUACUAGAAAGCAAUCUUCAAAAAAAUUGUUGAAAAUCACUUUUAAAAAUCUAAAUAAUGAUGUGAUUCUUCCAACAAUCACAUUUUUGUUAUAUUAUACAUUACCAAAACAUUCUCGGAACUUUUUUUUUUUUUUUAAAUUUAUAAUGUGCAUUUACUACAAAACAAUCUUUUUAAACAAAUAAAAAUACCAUUGAUAAUUAGGUUACGCUAGAUAAUGAUUUUAGGAAGUGUUUUUAAUCUUUCUAAUACUUGAAAAAUAACAACAGUGGUUUUAGGAAACGUUUCUAGCUUUUUUGGUGGACAAUUGCAAAUUAAAAAAUAAAUAUGUAAAUGGUACCAAUUUUUCUAAAAGCUUUAUUGCAGACUGCUUUAUUGCAGUAAUAUGCCCAAAGUCCACACCAGAAGAGUUACAACCAGACCCUCUUAUUAUACCAUGUUUGUUACAAUGAGGGAAUUGAACAUCAUGAAUCGUCAUUCAAGCAAGGAAAUCAAAGGUUGACAGCUUAUUCUGUUUCUAUAUUUCCCCACUAGAAUCGUGCUUGAAGGUAUUCAACCACCCUCUUGUCCAACUGGAAGGCCCUUGCCAGGAAAUCAGGAUUGAUGGGUGGAUUUGAUCCAAACAUUGAACUGGCUAUGGUGACUAUACCUGGAUUUUGGCUGUUAAAAGCGGCAAUGGCUACUGCAUUAGUGUGCCCAAUGUUGACUUGGAAGUGAAUGAGACUGAAAGGGAACACAAAAACAUCCCCCUUGUUCAGGACUUUGCUAACGAAGCGGUGUUCAGGGUUGGAUGUGAUAAAGCCAACAAAGAGUGUUCCCUCCAAGACAACGAGGAUCUCACUGGCACGAGGGUGAAAGUGAGGAGGGUUUUGACCAUUAGGUUCAUAAUCGAUACGAGCCACUGACACCCCAAGAGCGUUUUCUCCUGGUAAUUGAUCAACAUUUAUAAGAUUGACAAUUGAGCCCACAUAAUUUGAUGUGUUUCCUGGAAUAUUCAGCCCUUGAUACAAGAAAUCCUCGGCCACGGUCAGGUUUGGGUUCUUGCAGAACUUCCCAUUUACAAAUACUGCAUGAAGAAGGAAAAAAGAAAAGAUAUAUCAUUAGUAUCGAACCAUACUCACCAUAUCAAUAAAAAGAGAAGUACUGAAAAUAGCUAUAAGAUCAUUGGUUACUAUAGAAAUACCAGCAUUCUUGGGCUCAUCAACGGCAACACAGGUGUCUUCCAGUGGGCUUGGAUCAUAGGCAGAGGCAAGAAAGGAAGCCAAUGCCAUGAAGGCCACGGUUACCAGGAAACUAACGCUUUUCUUCAUUGUUAGAGUACUGUCUCCAACAAUCACAAUAUUUAUCUUUAGGCGGGGAUAAGAAAUUUAGCAUGGAAAAGAUGUUAAUUUAUAGACCAGAGUCGGUGAGUUAGUCUUUGCAUAAACUCACCAAGUCUUCAAUGGGAAGUUUUUUCUUCUUUCUUUUUUCACUUUCGAGGACAAGCGGUUGCACCAAUACAUGUUGAUUUACGUAGGAUUAGUCAGUAUACAGAUCUUAACCAGAAUAUAAAGCAAUGUACAAUCAGGUGGAGGCAGGUCCAAUUUAAUAUCAAUCUGUAUGAUCCAUACGUUUACAUAUAUAGUAGAGCUUUCUGCUCUUUUAGUAGUGUAUGGACAAGCAAAUAGAAGAUUACAGAGUAGGUGCCAGCUUGGACUAUACAAUGACCCACCCCUAUCAAACAUGGUUACUCCAUGAGACUUGUGUAGGUUCAGUUUAAUGAGUAUUUAUAUAGCUUAAUUCACCAUUCGAAGUGUUGAGAGAUUGGCUGAUGAGAUUGAAUAUGUAGCCAAGUUCUGAGUUUCUAGCUCAUGUGCCUUCCACUGAGUGAAAAGUCCUUGGAUAAGCUCUGGGGUUGCCUCAGUUCAAUGAAAAAUUGGGAUAAAUUCAAAGACUUUCUGCUAUAUGCUCACUAGGCUUUCCUCAGUUACAAAAGCUUUGACUAUGAUUUUUAUGCUUGCAGCCUUCCCUGUCUGAGCGGUUGGCUCAAAAGUUACUACUACAAUUAUUAUGGUUUGUGAGAGAAAGAGAUCUUAACAAACACCUUUAAACUAAGACUUUUUAAUUAGUCGUCUUUAACAAGCAAGUCUGUAUUUUCUGGUGAGAAGCAAGAAACCUUACAUUAGCAAAAUACCAAUUAAUUAGAUGAAGUCCUUCGGCUAAUCUAUGCCCUAUAAGUAAGGUAAUUAAGCAGAUCGAUACACUUUCCAAAUCUUCAAUGGAUGUCAUUUUUCAAAUUGAAAGGUUGAACCAUUCUGAGAAUUUUCAAAUUGGACAGGCCAUCUGUAAUCAGAUUGUGAUUAGUGUCAUGACCCAUUAGAUCUUUAUAAGAAGUUGGGGUUAGAGGUUUGUUCACAGUGGAUGUCAUGAGAUUUCUGGGCUUUCAUUUCCAUUCUUUCCUCACUAUUUCAUGACACUGAUGCUUCUCCCACCAUUCAUAUGGUUUGACUCGGACAUCUUAAUUAGUUUUUUCGAUCUCAGUUGAUGGGGGCCGGUUAUACUGGGAUAAUCUAGAGAAGCAAAUUAAUGGCAUCUUUCCAUUAUUGGAUUAUAUGAGGUUGUUGGCCAUGGUUCAAAGUCAUGGUAUCGGACACCAACUCGGUAAGUCUUGAGGCACAUGGGUCUCAACGUCGCAGAUCAAUAUCGGGUGAUACACAAAAAAUUAUAGUUUAAAAGCCCAAAACAAUUUAAAAAGAUUACAAAAAUAAAUACAAAUAAAUGAAGUUAAAAAUUAAUAAAAUAAACUUUUAUUAUAUAUAAAAUUAUUCAAAUUAUGAUAAAAACAUACCUUCGUAAUGAUUUAUAAAAAUAUAAAAAAAUUAAUUUAAUCACUUAAUAUUAAAUAUGCAUUAUUAAAGAUGAAAAUAAUAAAAAGUGAAUUUAUUGUUUAUAAUUUUUUUUAAAUUAAAUAUUUUAAAUUUUUAAAAAAUAUUUUCAAUAUUUUAAAAAAUACAUCUAGGAAUCAUCUUUGAAAAAAGUAAACAUCAUUUUUCUUAUCAAAUAUAUACUAAAUGAAACAAUUAUAAAAAUGGAGAAUUUUUAUUUGAAUGAGCAUAUUUGAAUAUAAUAUAUUUUUUCUAUACAUCUAUUCAUUUUAAUUGACUUUUUAUAUUAAUAUUUAUUUUCUAUUUUAUUUAUGUAAACCUAAAUAUUCAUUAUUAAUUUACCAUUAUCCUAAACCCAUCAAAUUUUCAUUAUCCAUUUAAAUACAAUUAUUCACCACAUAUUCAUUAACUACUUAUUUGUAAUCCUAUCAAAUACCCAUAAACCAUUCACCUCGCAAACACGUAUUUCCUUUUUUUGCACAAUACCCAUUUCCCCUCUAAAACAACACUUUGAGCUCUCUACUUCUUUGCACAAUACCUAUAUUUGAAGGCUAAAAAAAUAACCCCAUGAAGAUACAAGAGGAUGGAGAUGCAAAUAGAAGGAUGAAGAUGCACAAGGUUUGAAGACUCUAAACUCUCCAUACUUCUUCACUUUCAUGAGUUUUGAUUAUCUUCUCUUAUCCACCAUUUCUGCUCCAAUAUUACUAUUUUUUUUCCAUCACCCAUCACCCAUCACCCAAAGAGAUUAGUUUGAAUAUAAUAUUAGGGUUAUCUCAAAGUUUCUUUGUGAUUUAACAAGUUUAUUCAUGAGUCAACCAAAUAUUGGACUCAGGAAUCAGUCCAAUACGGUUCAUGAGCUCUUUAUUUAUUUGUACAAUACCCAUUUUUGAAGGCUCACAACACAACCCUACAAAGAUACAAGAUGAUGAAGAUGCAAAUACAAGGAUGAAAUGCAAAGGGUUUGAAGACUCUGAACUAUUUAUAUUUUUUCACUUUCAUGGGUUUCGAUCUUCUUCUCUCAUCCACCAUUUUCGCUACAAUAUUACUAUUUUUUUCCAUUACCCAUCACUCGAAAAGCUUAGUUUGGACACAAUCUUUAGGUUAUCUCAAAGUUUCCAUGCGAUUCAACAAGUUUAUUUCAUUAGAUAACCAAAUAUUGGACUCAGAUAUCAAUUCGAUACCGGUCAUGGCCAAGACGGAUGUAACUCAGUCGAGUCAAACUAGUCUUGACUAAGAUUUUGAACCCCAUUUGAGCUCUCUAUUUCUUUGCAUGUACAAUGCCCAUUUUUGAAGGCUCACAAAAUAGCCCUAUGAAGAUACAAGAGAAUGGGGAUGAAAAGGGUUUGAAGACUCUGAACUCUUCAUACUUCUUCGCUUUCAUGGGUUUCGAUCUUUUUCUCUCAUCUACCAUUUCUACUCCAAUAUUACCAUUUUUUUUCCAUCAUCUACCACCUGAAGAGCUUAGUUUGGAGAUAAUCUUGGGGUUAGCUCAAAGUUUCUUUGUGAUUUAACAAGUUUAUUCAUGAGUCAACCAAAUGUUGGACUUAGGUAUUGGUUCGACACCAAUCAUGGCUAAGGCGGAUAUGACUGAGUUGAGUCGUACAAGUCUCGAUCAAGAUUAUGAGCCCUGUUUGAGCUCUCUAUUUCUCUACACAAUACCCAUUUUUGAAGACUCACAAAAUAGCCUUAUGAAGAUACAAGAUAAUGGAAAUGCAAAUAUAGGUGUAGGACCUCAGGCGCUACCAACUCUCCUAAAAGCAAUUGCUGUUAGGAAAGACGCAUACCCUAACCUUAUAGUGCAUUCACCCAAGCGCCCAUGGAGAACACAAGGGGAGUUUAUGGAUACGACCAACCUUCCGAUCUAUCAGCAAUCUCCCAUACCACUUGUAGGACCUCAGACGCUACUAACUCUCCUAAAAGCAAUUGCUGUUAGGAAAGACGCAUACCCUAACCUUAUAGUGCAUUCACCUAAGUUCCCACGACAAACAUAAGAAGAGUUGAUGGACGCGGCCAACCCUCUGAUCUGCCAACAAUAGGGAUGAAAAUCCAAAGGGUUUGAAGACUCUGAACUUUCCAUAUUUCUACACUUUCAUGGGUUUCGAUCUUCUUCUCUCAUCCACCAUUUUCACUCCAAUAUUACCAUUUUUUUUUCUAUCAACCAUCACCCAAAGAGCUUAGUUUGGACAUAUUCUUAAGGUUAUCUCAAAGUUUCUUUGUGAUUUAGCAAGUCUAUUCAUGAGUCAACUAAAUAUUAGACUUGAGUAUCGAUCUAGUACUGGUCAUGGCCAAGGCAAAUAUGACUCGGUCGUGUCAUACCAAUCUAGAUCAAGAUUUUGAACCUUAUUUGAGCUCUCUAUUUCUUUGUACAAUACCCAUUUUUAAAGGCUCACAAAAUAACCCUAUGAAGAUACAAGAGGAUAAAGAUGCAAAUAUAGGGAUGAAGAUGCAAAAGGUUUGAAGACUCUGAACUCUCCAUAUUUCUUUGCUUUCAUGAGUUUAACUCUUCUUCUCUCAUCAACCAUUUUUGCUCCAAUGUUACCAUUUUUUUCACCAACCAUCACCCGAAGAGCUUAGCUUGGACAUAAUCUUUAGGUUAUCUCAAAGUUUCUUUGUGAUUUAGCAAGUUUGUUCAUGAGUCAACCAAAUAUUGGAUUUAGGUAUCAGUCUGAUACCGAUCAUGGUUGAGGUAGAUAUGACUCGGCUGAGUCUUACCGAUUUCGACCAAGAUUUUGAACCCUGUUUGAGCUCUGUAUUUCUUUGCACAAUACUAAUUUUUGAAGGCUUAUAAAAUAACCUUACGAAGAUACAAGAUGAUGGAAAUACAAAUACAAGGAUGAAGAUGCAAAGGGUUUGAAGAGUUUGAACUCUCCAUACUUCUUGAUUCGUUCCCAAUUGGUGUCUCAGCUGAUUCAUGUCCAGCUGGUGCUCUUUGAUUGAGAGAGUAAUCAACAAAAUUUAUAACCUAUAUCACUAUGCAUUAGGAUAGCUUUAGCUAAUAUAGCAUAGUGGCUCUAGGAUCGUUCACUGGGAAGGGUUUUCAACUCACAACUGAUACCAAUUCAAAGUUAAAUUGGUACUUUUUCAUUUCAAGGUUAGCUUAAGAAAAAAACACAAACUUUGUUUAAAUGAGGUUUUGUUUAAAGGUAACUAAAAAGAAAGUAAUGGAAAUUACUUAUGAAGAAAAACAUUCCUUGGAGGUUUAGGUUCACAGGGGAGGUUUCUUAUGCAAAAACAGAGCUCCGGUCAUUUGGUUCAUUUCCUCGCAUUAGAGAAUUAACAUAUAGUCAAUUCUCUAACCGGUGCUGCACAGAUGUAUCCUUUAAAUGGAUUUCAACUCUAAUUCCCUCUCACUGAUGCAACUUGCAAUGGCUCGUGCCUCUCACCUAGCAUUUUCCAUUCAAUGUGAUCUUUAACUUUGGACUUCUCUUCUCAAGCUCGCAAGAGAUAACUAACGGAUGUCUCCUUGGAGUCCAAAAGCUUACCAAGUGUUGGCAAUUCUAGAAAAUCCUACCUCCAAGUCACUUCCCAAAAGCCCGCAAGAGAUAAACAAGUGCAUCUCCAUGGACGGAGAUCACGUGCCUUACCAAGUGUUGGCUUAAGUGAAUUGAAGGUAUUUUAAGUUAACUAAAAACAUAUAAAUCAUUAAAGGAUCACACUUUCUCUUCAUUAAUGACUGAAACCACAAAGCUACUAAUUCUUGCACUUGGAACCUUUCCCGGCAACCUUAACUCCAAGGAACUAAAAGUCUAGCCACUCAUUCUAUGAGGAAACUUCCUCAGAGCUUGUUUGGCUAGUAAGAAAACUAACGAGAAAACAAUUAUAUGAAGGAAAAACAGAGCAAGUGCUCUAUAAAAUAUAUUUCUUUUUUCUGCCGAUUACAUAAUAUAUCUUUGUAAAGAAAAUUACAAACUAUAUAUAUGAGGUUAUUCACCCUUUGUACUUACUUAAAGACUAAGGAAUCCUAUGAUAGGUGGGUUACAAGGAGACUUUGGGAGGUGGGUUACAAGGAGACUUUGGGGAUUUAGACAACAAAUAUUUAAAGCAAAAUAUCUCAGGAUGUCGGUCGGAAAUAUCAAGAAGCUUCAGGAGAACACCGUGGCACUGUAUACUGAGAGAAAAACUCUCCUGGUAAGCGCUAUCAGAGGAUCCGGAUAAGUUUGACCGGAGAAGUUGAAACGUCCUCCUCUCCCAUCCGGCUGCGAGAUAUCCAGAUGUAAAAUGUCGGCGCACAGAAUUCCGGAUGUGAAAUGUCGACGCACGGAAUUCCUCCCCUGGUGGACUAAGCUAUGUUGCGCAAGGGGGACCGUCUGCGUGUGCAAGGUGUAGGGACCCCUCUCCCGGAUGACACGGAAUGCGCAAGGCUAUCCGGAUCAACUCCAUCCGGAUUCCCCAAGAGGACAUGUGGCGUGCUCCCCUAUUCAGACUCCCUCAGGUUGAAGCACACAGCACUCGUGAUCAUCACACCCGGACGAUAGCAUAUCCUAUCCGGAUAUGUUGUCCGGAUCAUUGACUUCCGCCGUCAUCCGAUGGUGUGUCCGGACAUCUUUUACUCCUUGCAUUCCAGAUUUGCUUAUGGAAAAGAACCUCAAAGCUUUGGUUCUUCAUAUUUCUGAGCUUUCCAUUGCUUUGCCAUGGAUUCCAAAGAACUCUCCUCAAUCACGGAUUGCUUUGGUGAUAAAAAAGCUAUCAAAACACCAAAACUUAACACAAUUUGAUUAGAAUUGAUUGCAAGGGUCCUUAAUAUGUUAAUUGGGUUAAAAUGUGAUAACUACUACUCAAAAGUGUUUAAAAGAGUUUAUUACAAGCUAUCAAAUAGCACUUUUUGAGUAGUAAUCACUUCUUCACUACCAUGGGUUUCGAUCUUCUUCUCUCAUCCACCAUUUUCCCUCCAAUAUUACCAUUUUUUUUCCAUCACCCAUUACCCGAAGAGCUUAGUUUGGACAUAAUCUUAGGGUUAUCUCAAAGUUUCUUUGUGAUUUAACAAGUUUAUUCAUGAGUCAACUAAAUAUUGGACUUGGGUAUCGGUUCGAUAAUAGUCAUGGCCUAAGAUUUUGAACCCUUUUUUAGCUCUCUAUUUCUCUGCGCAAUACCCAUUUUUGAAGGCUCACAAAAUAACCCUACAAAGAUAUAAGAUGAUAGAGAUGCAAAUACAGGGAUGAAGAUGCAAAGCGUUUGAAGACUCUGAACUCUCCAUACUUCUUCACUUUCAUAGGUUUCGAUUUUCUUCUCUCAUCCGUCAUUUUAGCUCCAAUAUUACCAUUUUUUUGCAUGACCUAUCACUCGAAGAGCUUAUUUUGGACAUAAUCUUAGGGUUAUCUCAAUUUUUUAUUUUAUUUUUGUGAUUCAACUAGUUUAUUCAUGAGUUAACCAAAUAUUAAACUCGGGUAUUGGUCUAGUACCGGUCAUGGUUGAGGCGGAUAUUACUCGGCCGAGUCGUUUUGAUCUCAACUGAGAUUUUGAACCCCAUUUAAGUUCUUUAAUUCUUUUCACAAUACCCAUUUUUGAAGGCUCACAAAAUAACCCUACGAAGAUACAAUAUGAUGAAGAUGCAAAUAUAGGGACGGAGAUGCAAAUGGUUUAAAGACUUUGAGCCCUCCAUAUUUUUUCACUCUCAUGGGCUUCGAUUUUCUUCUCUCAUCCACCAUAUACGCUCCAAUAUUACCAUUUUUUCCAUUACGCAUCACCCGAAAAGCUUAGUUUGGACAUAAUCUUAGGGUUAUCUCCAAGUUUCUUUUUUAUUCAACAGGUUUAUUCAUGAGUCAACCAAAUAUUGGACUUGGGUAUUAGUUCGGUAUUGGUCAUGGCCGAGGUGGAUAUGACUUGGCCGAGUCGUACCGGUCUUAAUUGAGAUUUUGAACCCUAACUGAACUCUCCAUUUAUUUGCACAAUACCCAUUUUUUUAAGGCUAACAGAAUAAGCCUACGAAGAUACAAGAGGAUUGAGAUGCAAAUAUAGGAAUGAAGAUGAAAAGGGUUUGAAGACUCUUAACUCUUUAUACUUUUUCACUUUCAUGGGUUUCAAUCUUCUUCUCUCAUCCACCAUUUUUGCUCCAAUAUUACCAUUUUUUUCCAUUACCCAUCACCCAAAAAGCUUAGUUUGGACAUAAUCUUAGAGUUAUCUCAAAGUUUCUUUUUUAUUGAACAAGUUUAUUCAUGAGUUAACCAAAUAUUGGACUCGGGUAUCGAUCCAAUACCGAUCAUGGCUGAAGCGGAUAUGACUCGAUCAAGUCGUACGAGUCUCAAUCGAGAUUAUGAACCCUAUGUGAGCUCUUUAGUACUCUACACAAUACCCAUUUUUGAAGUCUCACAAAAUAGUCCUACAAAGAUGCAAGAGGAUAGAGAUGCAAAUAAAUGGAUGGAAAUCCAAAGGGUUUGAAGACUCUGAACUCUCCAUAUUUCUUCACUUUCAUGGGUUUCGAUAUUUUUCUCUUAUCCACCAUUUCCACUUCGAUAUUACUAUUUUUUUCCAUCACCCAUCACCCUAAGAGCUUAGUUUGGACAUAAUAUUAGGGUUAUCUCAAAUUUUCUUUGUGAUUCAACAAGUUUAUUCAUAACUCAACCAAAUAUUGAACUCGAGUAUCGGUCCGAUAUCGGUCAUGGUGGAGGUAGAUAUGAGAACAACCAAAUAUUCAAUUUUUUUUUAAAUUUAUAAUGUGCAUUUACUACAAAGCAAUCUUUAAAAUAAAAUAAAACUACCAUUGAUAAUUAGGUUACACUUGACAGCAAUUUUAGGAAGUGUUUUUAAUCUUUCUAAUACUUGAAAAAUAACAAUAGUGGUUUUAAGAAACGUUUCUAACUUUUUUAAUGGACAAUUGCAAAUUAGGAAAUAAAUAUGUAAAUGGGUACCAAUUUUUCUAAAAGCUUUUAAACUUUUUUCUAUUUUGGGUUAUAAUGUGUAUCAUGUUAUUAACAAUAUUUUUGCUUUUAUUUCAUGUCAAAUAAUAUAAUUUUUAACUUUAGAAGAGUCACAAACAAUAUUUGUGUUUACCCUAAAAUGCUUUUUCCUCGUAUGCAUUUCAGGGUGUAGGGAUUCUCAUGGAAAAUACUUCCCAUGGCUGGCAUGGGAGUUGAAGAAUUGUUGCAUGUGCAGCCAAAGGUAAAAGAGGGAUUCAUGUGUUACCUGAAUUGCAUUUUAUCUGAUUUACAAUUUGAUUAUAUGUAUGUUUGUGCAGUCUGGUGCUUGUGUUGCUCAUUUCUAUAUGUGCUAAAUGGAGGAUUUCUUUUUCAUCCAAAACCCUAGUAUUGCAGGAGAUAGUUGCUUUAUGGGUCAGUCUUCUUACCAAAUCUUAACUCUAUGCUGACUUCUUUUUCUUUGAUUUCCUACUCUUUGUUCUGCAUAUGUGUUUUCAACCUAACUAUUUUCAUAGGGAUCAAUGGAAAUUAUGAUUUUUCAAAGAAUAUUGAAAGUAGAAGAAAAUUAAGCAUUUGUGAAAUAUGGAGGAGCAAAAUGAUUUCUUAGUUUUAGCACAUCAGUUUACAGAAGAUAUUGUAAUUUCACAUGAUGAAAAUGAAGAGGGGAACCCAGAUUUCCAAUGGAGGGACUUUUUGGGCUUGGGGGACUAGAAAUGCAAGAUAUAAGUGCAAAUAUUGGAGUUACCCAACCAUAAAUCUGUCCGAAAAACUCGCUUUAAGGGGAGGAUGUUCCUCAUACACAAGAUGGAUUUAGCAUGGGGAUAAUUAGAUCCUAGAUGUUUGUAAGACUCAAUUCUAUCCAGUUUGCGUCCUUUUGGGGCUCCAUCAUGUGGGUUCUUUCCCCUUUUCGGUCAUCUUAAACUGGCUCUGAUGGUUGUUCGAUUGGUAACUCCGAAAGAUCAGAAUAGCUGUAUCUGCUAAGAUAAUGGAUGAAAUGAUAUGCUAACUUGGCAACUCGAAAAUAAUGGCCCGUGUCUUCCUCCUAUUAGGGUAUAUUGAAUUCUAAUUCAAGAAAAUUUUGCAGUAUUCAGGGUGGAAGCAGAUCACUUAAUCUUUUGUAGUAGGGAUUUAAGAGGUUUAGGCAGAUGCUUGAAGGUUUAUUCAUACUUAUUGUGAAGCAGAUCAUCUGGAAAACUGGGGAGUUAUCAUGCUGAAGACAUUUUUCUCCUUAUUGAAGUUUUCCAAACAAACCCUUCCAUCUAGGGUGAAUUAUUGGUUUCAUUUGGCUGAGUAGGAGAUUUCAGAUAGAAGCCAUCAAUCCUGGUCCUCAAGGGUGGAGUGGUAUGAUUACCAUCUAUGUAAAGACUUUGAAAUUUUUUUGUCAUUAACAAGCAUUUGUUGAUAAAUUUGCUUACCAUCUUCCACAAAUGAAAUUAUGGUUUUGAGUGUAUAAUUAUAACUGCUUAUGAUGAAAGGGAAAAACACCGACAAAGGACUCACUGGUUUUUUCUGCACAAAUGGGAGCAAUCUGUUAUUCUGGUUUCUUAUUACACACAAGCAAAACGAUCAUUUAUAGUUGUAAAUAGAGAGCUCUUCUUCUUACCUAGACUGAAAGUGACGGAGGUUUACUAUUUUAAGUUCAGUGACAUGUCCACAUUUUCUUCCUUUGCCUUACGAAGUGUUUCAAAUCCCAUUUCUUUCCAGACAUUCUUUAGCCUUUGAGCAACCGAAGAGAUAAGGGGACGCUUUUGGGGGUUCUCUUCUGUGCACAUCAUCCCUGCAUCGAGCAUGUGGAUACAGCAUUGCUCAAGCUUAUGUAAAGCACCACUCCCCUCUUCCAAAUAUGCUUCGUGCUUCAGUGAGAUGUCUACAAUAUCCAAAACUUGAUUUGGAAAAGCAGAACACACCCAUUUCCUUAGAUCAAGUCCAUCUGAAAACAUUUCAUUCGUUGGUCUCUUCCGUGUUAUCAUCUCUAACAUCAUCACUCCAAAACUGUAUACAUCUCCUCUUGUUGAGACAUCGAUCCCCUGCCCAUAUUCUGUGUACAAGCAAUAGGAACUAUUAGCUGAAUCACUGUACUUUUAUUUAUAUCCCUUCAAAUUAGGAUAGUCUGUUUAAAGAAAGAGACAUGGAUAGAUGCAGUUGGUUCAUAUUAACUAUCUGAAUAUCACAAGAAUGCAAGCAUCCUUCUUUUUCAUUUAGAUGUAAAUGCUUCUCAUUGGAAAAGCGAUUAGGAAACUAUCUGAAUAUCACUGUACUUAAAGAAAAGCGGGAGAAUAACCAACAAGACAUACCAUGUUGUUAAACAAAUUUAUCAUAAUGGUAUAUGAGGAAACACACAAAACCCUAUUUUUUCUUCUCGACUUCUAUCCUAUUAUUAACAGUUAGUUCUCUAGAAUAUAUGACCAUUGGGUAGGCAGUCAAAUGAAUGAAAACUAGACUAGUUUGAAGUUCAUGUGAGAUGAAAGAUUGGCAUUCAUGAUUAAAAGUAAUUAUCUAGUCUGAUAACUUAUCAUUUACUUCUCAGAUUUGAAGGUAGGUCGCUAACUUUUCCAAGAAGAUUCAAAGGGAUUAUGAAGCAUAGGAUUGAAGAUUUAUAUAAGGUAAUCAAAUGCAUACCUGGGGGGAUAUACCCGACAGAUCCUCGUAGAAAAGCAGUUGUGGUAGUAACAUGUCCUCUUGGUUUGUCACCUGAAAUGAGCUUUCCAAUACCAGAAUCUCCUACAUGAGCCACCAUAUCAUUGUCCAAAAGAACAUUUUGUGGUUUCAGGUCACAGUGUACAACUUGAACAGGACAACCCUCAUGAAGAUACUCCAAGCCAUUUGCAACAUCUAUUGCUAUUCCCAUUCUUUCCCUCAAUUUUAAUUCACUACCUCCUUCAUCUGACCCACCAGGGUAAAGAUGCUGUUCCAAGUUCCCAUUGCCUAUAUACUCGAGAACAAUAGCCUUGAAUCCUGAAUUCCAGGUCGAUCCUAUCAUUCUAACCAGAUUCCUAUGUCUAAUUUCAGACAGUAUUUGACACUCCCUUUUAAAACUUCUGUAACCCUGAACACGCUCUUCUUGCAGAACCUUAACUGCCACAACAGUUUUUCCAUCAUUGAUGAUAGCUUUAUACACCCUACCAAAACUUCCUUCCCCUAAUAGAUUAGCCUCAUCAAAACCGCCAGUAGCAAUUUCGAUUUCCCUUUCAGUUAAAGUUUGGGUUCCAUGAUGGGUUGGGGAAUACAUUAGAAUUGCAGUCUCCGCACCUGCACUCCUAUUUUUGAAGAAGAAACGACGAACAGUGAGGGCGAUCAGCACAAAGAGAAGCAGAGAACAAGUUAAUAUUGCAAACAGGUAAUAAAUCCAUUUCCUUUUCUUGUGCUUUUGUUUCAGAAUUUCACAUGGAUGGAGACCCAUAAGUUUGGUGCCACCACAGAGCCCCAUAUUCCCCAUGAAUGAGCUGCUUCCUAGAUUUUUAUACCUCCCACUAUUUGGAACCUCUCCUGUUAAUCUGUUAUACGAUAAAUUGAGAUUCUUGAUCUUCUGGCUGUCACCAAUCCAGAUUGGAACAUUUCCUGUUAAAUUAUUGAAAGCCAAGUCCAGAUAUCCUAGAUCAAUGAUUUGCUUCAGGGACUCUGGGAUUGUACCUUCAAGCAUGUUGUGAGAGAGGUUCAGAUACUCCAUUGAAAUGCAUCUUCCAAUCGAACUUGGUAUCACUCCGAAGAAUUUAUUCGCUGACAAGUCAAUUGCCAGCACAGAUGCCAGAUUUCCAAUACUAGCAGGUAGUUCUCCUUCAAGAUUGUUGUUCGAAAGGUUGAGUGAAAGAGCCAGGUUUGAGAAAUGACCAAUUUCUGUGGGAAGAGACCCUUGUAAGUUGUUAAAAGACAAAUCAAGAAGCAUUAGAAGAGAACAUUGGGUGAGUUCGAUGGGAAUUUUCCCUGUGAGGUGGUUGUGAGACAAGUAAAGAUAUCUCAACUGUGACAGAUUACCAAGAGAAGAUGGGAUUGUCCCACUAAUCAAAUUAUCACUAAGUUCCAGUAAACCAAGGUUAGCCAUCUGCCCAAGUUCAUCUGGAAUUGGCCCAAGAAGUUUGUUUCUUCCCAAGUGUAAUCUCUGCAACUGCCUAAGCUUCCCAAUUGUUGCAGGAACUCCAUUCAAAAAAUUAUACCACAGGUCUAGAGUCACAAGGCCGCUUAGAUUUCCAAUUUCAGCUGGUAGGUCUCCUGUUAAUUUGUUGUUUCGAAGAUUCAAGUAGUAGAGAUCUUUGGAAAGACUGCCAAUUGAAGCCGGUAAACUUCCUGCAAACAGACAUGCCCCUAAGUGCAGUUUCUGUAGACGUGAACAAUUAGUGAGAGGAGUUAGAAAACUGAGGGAAGAGUUGUUGGAACCGCUCACCAGGUUAUUGCUAUGAAGGUAAAGUCUCUCAAGUUUCUUCAACUUCCCCAACUCAGGAGGGACUUCCCCCUCUAACUGGUUGAGGCUAAGAUCAAGCAGUGUCAGCUGAGAAAGAUUGGACAGGGUCACUGGAAUUUUCCCAGAAAGUUGGUUUUCUUGGAAGUACAAUCUCUGCAAGUUAUGGAGCUUUGACCCCAAUUCGAAAGGGAUUGUUCCCGUUAACCGAUUCUCAAUCAGUGUAAUGUGACGCAGGGCAGUGCAAUUACUGAUGGAUGCAGGUAUGCUUCCUUCCAAAAAGUUGAUGUGGAGGUACAAUAUCUCCAGCUUUGUUAAUGCUCCUAGCUCCUCUGGAAUCCUUCCUGUGAAGUAAUUAACUUGCAAUUCUAAAUCUGUCAGCUUUGUCAGAUUCGAAAGAAACGAUGGUAUAGCUCCAGUGAGGCUGUUCUCAGAGAGACAAAGGUAUGUCAAGUUUGUCAUUUGGCCUAGUACAGCAGGAAUGCUUCCAGUCAGAUUGUUAUAGUCCAAGUCUAUUGUCUCCAGGCUCCAGCAGCCUUGUAUUGAGGCUGGAAUAUUGCCCCCAAGCUUAUUACCACUCAUGUUUAUGAAUGUUAACUCAGAAAGCUCUCCAAUGGUAGCUGGGAUCUCUCCAUACAAGCUGUUGGCUUGCAAAGAGAGGGUGGUGAGAUGGGAUAGAUUGGAUAUGUAUGGUGAGAUAACUCCCUGUAAGCGCAUGUUUAUGAGCUCAAUGGCUAUGACCCGGUUCUUAAGUUGCUGGUGGCAUGUAAUCCCUGUCCAGUUGCAGAAGAACCUGGUUUCAUUCCAAUCUUGGAGAUGACCAUCUGGAUCACCUGUUAUGCCUUGUUUGAAUUUGAGCAGAGAUUGACAAUCAGUGGAGUUUUUGCAGAGGAAUGUGGAAGUUGAUAGUAGAGCAAGACAACUAAGAGAGAAAAACACUGCCACAGCAACGGGAUUGUUCUGAUUGUAUGCCAUUCUCUCUCUCUCUCUCUCUCAGUGUGUGUGUACAGCUUUUGGAAUUCGAUGUUAGAUUUCAGGCCAAAAGUUUUUUUUCUCACUUGUUAGGUAAGAUGGGAUGAACAAUCAAUUUUCUUAAAAGUUUAAACUUAACGUGUAUCAUACUUUUCAACACUCGACGGGAUCAAUGGUAGAAGUUUAAAUAGAUGGGCUCAGUUGCUCAAAUGGUUCAGACAACUUGGCCUAGUGAGGGGCAGGUGGUGAGCCCUCAUUUAUCACUGGGACCAUAGAGCAAGACUUUUUGGUAUUGCCAUCACCUGUCUUAACUUCAUUCAACCUCUUCAAUGCUGUUUGACAUUUUCUUCCGUGACAGAAUUAAUAGCUAUGCAGUUUCCCAAAAUUUGCUCCGAACCCAUUGUCAUUUUUUUUUCUUCAUAUUUUAUAUUUUGUAUUUAUUUAUUUUUAUAUUAUUAUCAUUUAUUAUUUAUUUUAUUUUUCUUUCUUUUUCUUUUAUUUAUUUUAUUUUCUUCUUCCUUUCUUCCUCCAUGCAUGCACUACCAUUGUCACUUUUUUCUCUUUCUAAGGAUUUGCAAUUGACUCUAUUGAUAUUUUGUUGGUUGAGCAUGGAUUUAUGACUUAUAACACACACAUGGAAGGUUGAAUUUCAUGAAAGAAAAUGAGGGUUAGAAAAAUAAUAAAUGGGAAACAUUGAGCUUAUUGUGGGUUUGAUUUGGUACAAAUUCUUUUGUAUAUAUCUACUUGGGUAUACAAUUGAAUAUUUAAUUUAGGAAAAUUCAAAAAAUUGUUUUCAAUGAAAUUAAAAAAAAAAAUUAAUAACAAUUGCCUGGAAAUUUAUUUAUUUAAUAAACAUUGUUUUGUCAAUAAAAUUGUCAUCAAAGUUAAUUUUUAAUAAAAUUAUCUAAAAAAGUGAAUUUAUAAAUGAAAUUCUAUUUCCUUAAUUUAAAUGGGAUAAAAAGUAAUUUUUGUAAAUUAAAGUCUUAAAUAAUUUUUUCAUAAUAAUAGAACGAGAAUCUUUUUAGCAAAUUGAACUUAUACAAAUUAUUUUCUUUUCGUAAAUAAAGUUUGUAAAGAAAUUAUUUUCUUUAUAAAUAAAAUCAAAAUGAAAUAUUUUUACAACUAAAAGAAUAUUUAAUUGAGCAAGUGAUGAACUAUUUGCUUGUUUAAGUAACCUUUUGAAAUGUUCCCUCAGCAUAAUGGUAGUACAAUAAGAGGGUUUAUUAUGUACUUCUUUCUAUAUGGACUUUGGGUAUAAUAAAAACAAUGCUUUCUCUCUCUCUCUCUCUCUCUCUCUCUCUCUCUCUCUCUCUCCCCCUAGUCCACAGGUUUACACCCUCAGCUUUACCCUGGACUAAGUCCUGAAACCCAAAGAUUAUGCAGAAUCAAACUCUUAAAGUCUACAGCAUGAGUUGAAGAAAAAAGGAUGAGUAUUUAAUGUAGUAGUUGAGGAAUGAUUCAAUGUUUGAAAUAUAAAAAAUGCAAUCCAUUGAACACUUAGCUGGACUAUCUGCUUAUUGUAUACAUAAAACAUAGACUAAUCCGAAGACUUCUAUGUUAUAACUUUAGAAUUUUCAUAUCCAAGGUUUUCACUUCUUUCUCAUCAGAAGACAAAGAUUGUAACUGUUGCAGAAAACCUAACAACCUAGUUUAUUUGUUAAGGUCCCUUUCUCUCAUAAGACAUAAAUAUAUUCACUAUCAAACACCAUAAUGAUAAUAAUAAUGAUCUUCUUUUUGCUGUAUAUACACUACUUUAGAGUUUGUUCAAUGUUUGGUUACCAAGAAAACAGAAGGACUGAUCUGCUGCAUUAAAAGGUUAAGUAAUCCUGAAUACUUUCACUUCAUUUUGCCAUAUGUAGUUCUUCCAUUAGCUAGCCAUUUGGAACUAAAUCUUGUGGAGAACUUUUCAUAUUGGAGAUGGAUAUGAAAUUGGAUCUGCCUCCACCUCAUUGAACUUCACUUUCAACAUAUGCAUUGAGAAUAUUUAAGUUAAGAUCAGUAUACUAACUAACCCUACAUAAAUUAACAUGUAUUGGUGAAAACACUUAUCCUUGUAAGUGAGAAAGCAAAAAAAAAAAAAGAAAAAAAAAAAAGACCUACCCAUUGAAGACCAUCUAUAAAUUGACAUGUUUCUCAUGCAAAAAUUUUCACCCCUCACCUAAACACAAAGAUUUGUGAUUGUUUGGAGACAGUACUCUAACAAUGGAGAAAGGUGUUAGUUUCCUAGUAACUGUGGCCCUCAUGGCAUUGGCUUCAUCUUUUGCCUCUGCCUCUGAUCCAAGCCCACUGCAGGACACUUGCGUUGCCAUUGGGGAACCCAAGAAUGCUUGUAUUUCUUUAGUAACCAAUGAACUUGUCACUAUUUUCACUGAUCUUUCCAAUUCAAUAUUGGGCACAUUAAUGCAGUAGCCAUUGCUGGUCUAAGCAGCCAAAAUCCAGGUGUAAUCACCAUAUCCAAUGCAGUGUUUGGAUCAAAUCCACCAAUCAAUCCUGAUUUCCUGGCAACGGCCUUCCAGUUGGACAAGAAGGUGGUUGAAUUCCUUCAAGCACGAUUCUAGUGGGGAAAUAGAGAAAAUGAAGAAGCUAUGAACCUUUGAUUUGCUUGCUUGAAUGACUAUUUGUGAUGUUCAAUUACCUCAUUACAAUAAGAGGGGUUUAUUACUUUAUUUUGUAGCUCUUUUGGUGUGGACUUUGGUCCUAAUAUUAAAAUAAAGCAGUUUGUCUGUUAUGCAUCUUCUUCUGUCUCCAUCUCAAUAUUUGUCUUAAAAAAUCUUAUCUUGUGAAAAAACAACUCUCAGUUGAUUGAUUAACCUGCAUGUGCAGAAUGUUUAUUAAGAAUGAAUACUUAACUAGUUGUAAAACAGUACUACUGCUACUUCCAGCAUACUGCUGGCAGAAUUGGUGAUGAAGGAAUGAACAUUGAGGCAACAACUGCUGAGAAUUCAAAAAUAAAAAAGAUGCCAUUUUGCUUCUCUAUAUUUUCCCAUUAUAACUCAUCAACCGAGAUCGAAGAAACUAAUUAAGAUGUCCAAGUAAACCAUUUGAAUGGUGGGAGAAGCAUAAGUGUCAUGAAAAUUGUGAAGAAAGAAUGGAAAUGAAAACCCAGAAAUCUUAUGACAUCUACUGUAGACAAAUUAAUGUCUUAAAUAAUCUUUUCAUAAUAAUAGAACGAGAAUCUUUUUAGCAAAUUGAACUUAUACAAAUCAUUUUCUUUUCAUAAAUAAAGUUUAUAAAGAAAUUAUUUCCUUUAUAAAUAAAAUCAAAUUGAAAUAUUUUUGUAAAUAAAGUUCUAAAAAUUCAUUCUUUUUCUAGUAAAAGUAAGUCAAAAUAAUUUUUAUUGUCAAAUUGGAAUUUUUUGAAUAAAUUCUAUCCAAAUAAAAUUCAAUCAAAUCAUUUAUUGGAAAUAAAUAAAUAAAUUAAAAUCUUGAAAAAGUAAUAUUUAAAAUAUCUUUUUGUAAUCAAUUUAAUAAAUCGGGGUGUAUAAUUCUAAUGUCAUUUAUUUUGUACAUUUUUGUAAUUUAAUUUUAUAAUUAUUUUCUUGUAUAUUAAUUUGUGUCUUUAAUCUUGAUAUUCAUGAUUGAUCAAUUAACUGUCAUAAUUCAUUUUGUUUGUUUAGUAAAGAUUGUUAGUAUACAUGCUUAGAGGGGUAUUACCACUUAUUAUUGUACCUUUCUGAUAGACAACUUGACCCUUGAAUAUAGACUUGAUUUUACAGACAUGUCUUUUCUAAAUGAGGAUUUAUACAAAAUUUUCUUUCUUAUUUUAUUUUCUCUUUUAAAAAAUAAAUUAAAAUAAGUGGCAAUCCUAAUUUUUUUAUAUAAAAAAAAAAAAUCAAAAUUUCACAAUAAAAAUGAGUCUCACUGUCGAGUGGGAACACACGCAAAAAAUACGGGUCAACAUGUAUCCAAUUGAUUGGGGUCAAUGUCAAGAUGUAUGAUAAAGAUGCAAAAUUUGAAUAUGAAUCCUACCAUUGAUUGAAUCUUGAACUACCUGAUACUGGUUGUAACAAGUGAGAUAAGUUGCUAAGGUUUGCAUUGAAAUCCUCAAUUGAAAGUUACUAGUCAUCCAAAUAUGUAUAUAAAUCAAAGUGCACACAAUUGAUUUUCUUUCUCUUCUAAAUCCAAGAAAUCAACCUCCUUAAGCAAAAGACCUUAGAAUUCUUAGAGUGUGUUUGAUAGUGAUUUUAGGAAGUGUUUUUAACUUUUUUAAUAAUUGAAAAAUAAGAAUUUUGAAGUGUUAAAAAUGUUAGAAACGCUUCCUAAAAUCACUAUCAAACGCACUUUUAAUGUAAUUUGCUCUAUGUACCACUUGAUGUGGAUGUUAAGAUUGAUAUCCUUGGUCAUUGCCUAUAAUCCUAUAUCUAUAAUAGCAAGAAGACAUACAUUGAAACAUGAAUACCCUUUCACUAUGUUUGGUUUAUGGAAAAUACUAAGAAAAGAAAAUGUUCUGAAAAAUGUUUUUCUUAUAUUUAGUUUUAUUAUGAAAAAUAAGAAAAAAAUAAAAUAUAAUUAUAAUUAAUUAAAAUUUUAUGUAUUUUAAAAUUAUUUAAUAUUUAUAUAAUGAAGGAAAAUAAAUGAAACAAGCUUGAAAAAGUAUAUAAAAAUAAUUUAUUAAUUAUAACUUGUAUGCGACUAUUUUGUACUUUAAUCCCGUUUUUCUUUUAUUCUCUUGUAGGUACCUUGAUUUUAUAUAUUUGUAUCUUUAUUCGAUGAUUUAGAUUUCAUAUAUUUGUAUCUUUAAUUGAGAUUGCAAGAUCCGUACGGAUUCAGAUUAGGGAUGACAACGGUAUGGGCUUGAGGCAAGUUACUCAUAUCCCAAUCCAUUAUAUUUAUUCGUAUAUGUUAUCAUCCCCACCAAAAAAAGAAAUUAAAUGGGAAUAGGAAAUUCUCAUGCCUACCCCAUGCUAUCCCAUUAUUUAUUUAUUUAUUUUUCAAUUUUUAUUUCUAAAAUUUUAAGAAAAUUAAUAUUUUAAAUAUGUUAAAAAAAUUGAAAACUGAAAAAAGAAAUCAAUUAAAGAACUUUUUAUUUAACAUUAUACAUAAUUAGGCUGAGGUAGGAUGAAACAAACUCAUACCCAAAAUCACCCUGAAUCAAUCUUGGGUUUUUAAAAAUUUCUCAAAUUCAAGAUGAGACAAAAUCAUAUCCAAAACUAUCUCGAAUCCAUCCUAGAUUUUAAAAAUUUUCUCUAAUUUAUCUAAACUUUAUAUCAUUAUCUCAAAACGAGUACAUUAAGGGUAUGACAAGUACUAAAAAAAAAUUGGUAUAUUGUCAUCCCUAAUCAAGAUCCUAAAAUUUUUCUUUAUGAUAAUGAAAACAACAAUCAUAGUCGUCAUCUCUCUAUCAGUGUACUUUUUAGGUUUGAUCGAAUACACCUUAUGUGUUGCCUUUGGGGCAACCUAGCUCUCUCAAUCAUUGUCUAAAGUUCGGGUGUUUGUUUGUUUUAAUUUUUUUCGACUUUUUUUAAUACUAAAAGUAACUUAAUGACUUUUUUUUAACUUUUUAGUACUUAAUAAAAAUAAAAUAUUAAAAAACCAAAAACUGUGAUGUUUAAUACUUUUAAACACUAUAUAAUUUUAAGUUUUAUUCAAAAUUAAGUAAAAAAGAAAAAAAAAACACUCCUUUGAUGGUCAUCUAAAACUUUUAGGUCAAAGCUUGAUUUGGAGCUCAUUUAAACCUAACCCAAACUUCAACUAAAAAGACCUAUGUCCAACACAAUUAUUAGAGGUGUCCAAUGGGUCAUGUCGGGCCAACACAACCCAUGUUUAUCAGGCCAAUGCGUUGGCUCGACCCAUGCAAGCCAAAUAGGUGGCUUGACAUGGCCCAUAAACCCAUGGGCUAAUCAUGUCGUGUUGUGCCAUGUCGGUGAGUCGCCCCAUGGGCCACACACUUUAAUUAUUAUUUUUUAAUUUAUUUUGUCUUAAGUUUUUUAUUAUUAAAUAAAAUUUCUUUUUGUUACUUUAAACACCUCUAAUAAUUAUACUUUUUAUUUUUUAUAUUUAUAUUUAUCAAGUUUAUAACUGUAAAAUUUAUAAAAAUGUUAGUUUUUUGUUUUUAAAAAUAAUAAAAAGUGAUAUUUAAAGGGUUAAGUGGGCCAACAUGAUGGCACGACGGGUUGUUUCCUUAGGCCCACCACGACCCGCUCCUUUGGGCCAUGCCGGCCUGACUCGAUCUUUUGGCGCACUAGGCCACAGGCCAAAAUGGGUGGCUCGACCCAUUGGACACCUCUAGUAGUUACAUGUCUAGCAUCCAAACGGUAGACCAGGUGAGUUUUGUCAAACCCAACCCAUUCAUCCCCUUUGCUUCAUGUUGGCCACCCGGUUCAGACCAACCAUUGGGUUGAUUUGGGGUCUUGGUUAUUUUUGUUUAAAUAAAUUGCAAAGAAAAAAAAAACUUGGUUUGGAUAAAUAAACUUAAGUUGUUUUUAAAAUAAGCUUUUAUUUGAUUUUUUCUAAAAAAAUUUAUAAAUUCAAUUUGUACAAUAUUAAUUAUAUUUAAUUGAAGUCUUAUUAAAGAUUUAAAAAAAAAUAGUUUUUAAAUUAAAGAUAAAUUAAAAAAAAUCAUAAAAUAUGAAAUUAAUAUUAUAAUAAAAUCAUAAAUUAUGAUUUUUAUUUAAAAUGAUACUAUUUUAAGAUAUGAUUGAUUUAUUUAUUUUGAUAAGAAUGAAUAAUACUAAUUUUAAAAUAAUAAAAGGGUGAUAUAGUUUAUUUGAAAUAAAUUUAAAAAUAAAUAAAAUUUAUUUUUUUAAUACGUAAAUAAGCGAAGUUUUUCAUUAUAUCUACACCUGAGAAUUUAAUCAAGGAUAUAGUAUUUUGAACUAGUUUUGAUUCAUUCCUAUAAUCUUCAUUCAGUCAUUAUGGUUUAGACAAUUGAUAAUUAAUCUGUUGGCAUAAUUGAUUCUGCAAAACAGUAUCCUGAAUUUAGUAUCGAGGGAGGCAGAAACACAGCGAGAGAGAGAGAGAGAGAGAGAGAGAGAGAGAGAGAGAGAGAGAGAUGAUGCUUAACAAUUAACAGACUGCAGACUGCUUUAUUGUAGUAAUAUGCCCAAAGUCCACACCAGAAGAGUUACAACCAGACCCUCUUAUUAUACCAUGUUUGUUACAAUGAGGGAAUUGAACAUCAUGAAUCGUCAUUCAAGCAAGGAAAUCAAAGGUUGACAGCUUAUUCUUUUUCUAUAUUUCCCCACUAGAAUCGUGCUUGAAGGUAUUCAACCACCCUCUUGUCCAACUGGAAGGCCCUUGCCAGGAAAUCAGGAUUGAUGGGUGGAUUUGAUCCAAACAUUGAACUGGCUAUGGUGAUUACACCUGGAUUUUGGCUGUUAAAAGCGGCAAUGGCUACUGCAUUAGUGUGCCCAAUGUUGACUUGGAAGUGAAUGAGACUGAAAGGGAACACAAAAACAUCCCCCUUGUUCAGGACUUUGCUAAUGAAGCGGUGUUCAGGGUUGGAUGUGAUAAAGCCAACAAAGAGUGUUCCCUCCAAGACAAUGAAGACCUCACUGGCACGAGGGUGAAAGUGAGGAGGGUUUUGACCAUUAGGUUCAUAAUCGAUACGAGCCACUGACACCCCAAGAGUGUUUUCUCCUGGUAAUUGAUCAACAUUUAUAAGAUUGACAAUUGAGCCCACAUAAUUUGAUGUGUUUCCUGGAAUAUUCAGCCCUUGAUACAAGAAAUCCUCGGCCACGGUCAGGUUUGGGUUCUUGCAGAACUUCCCAUUUACAAAUACUGCAUGAAGAAGGAAAAAAGAAAAGAUAUAUCAUUAGUAUCAAACCAUACUCACCAUAUCAAUAAAAAGAGAAGUACUGAAAAUAGCUAUAAGAUCAUUGGUUACUAUAGAAAUACCAGCAUUAUUGGGCUCAUCAACGGCAACACAGGUGUCUUCCAGUGGGCUUGGAUCAUAGGCAGAGGCAAGAAAGGAAGCCAAUGCCAUGAAGGCCACGGUUACCAGGAAACUAACGCCUCUCUUCAUUGUUAGAGUACUGCCUCCAACAAUCACAAUCUUUAUCUUUAGGCGGGGAUAAGAAAUUUAGCAUGGAAAAGAUGUUAAUUUAUAGACCAGAGUCGAUGAGUUAGUCUUUGCAUAAACUCACCAAGUCUUCAAUGGGAAGUUUUUUCUUCUUUCUUUUUUCACUUUCGAGGACAAGCGGUUGCACCAAUACAUGUUGAUUUACGUAGGAUUAGUCAGUAAACAGAUCUUAACCAGAAUAUAAAGCAAUGUACAAUCAGGUGGAGGCAGGUCCAAUUUAAUAUCAAUCUGCAUGAUCCAAACGUUUACAUUGUUUCAACAUUUUUGUAUUAUGGUUUUUAUGAACUGUGUUUUUUUGAGUUGUAAGGAAGAAAAACUUAGGUUUAAAGUUCUAGCAUAGAAGAAAAAACCUGUAGAUUAAUUGAUUUUUUAAUCUGAACCAAACACAUGAUCAACUCCAUAAAAACAAGUGGAAAACAAGAAAAAAUGAAUGAUUUUUAAUAUGUAUUUGUGUGAGAAUGAUAGGUAUAGAUUUUUUUUUGAGAUAUACUGCCACAUAAUCUUCAUCCCUUCUAAAAAACGAGAGAGAAAAAAAAAAGAAUGAUUUUUCUGUUUGUAUCUAAGUGAGAAUGAGAUAUAGAAUUUCACUCCAGACGCAUUAAUUUUAUCUCAUACUGCCAUGCUAGACCAAAUCAGCCCUUAACGACAACCACACUGUUUUGUGGGGGGGGGGUUACUUUUGUUCCAUUAUAUUCACAGAAUCUUCAAAUCCAUUCUUUGGAUUAAUCUGCAUGAGGAAAUCUGUUACUGUUAGUGACGGAAACCUGUUAUUGUUAGUACCGGAGUCAACUGUUUGACUGGGUGGGUUCCAAUCAGAUCCUAAGGAAUGGGUCCAAAGGUCAUCCAUUAGAGUUAAUGGAAUUCAUUGUUGUUCUUGUGCCUUGAUGUGUGAGCCCAACACGCACAGAUGCAACUAGGGAUGGCAACGGGGCGGGUUUUUUCGGGUACCCGCCCUGCCCCGCCCCUAAUGGGAUGGGGUUGAAAUUUAAUAAAUGGGUUUUUAACGGGUAUAAGAUUUUUUUUUUUAAACCCGGGGCGGGUUCGGGUAUUGCCCCAUCCCGCCCCGCCCCGCCCCGCCCCGCCCCGCCCCGCCCCGUUUACAUAUAAAAUCAAUUUUAAAAUUUAAUUUAAUUUAAUUUAAAUUUUAAAAUUAAUUUUAUUUUACUAUUUUUAAUAUAUAGAUAAUAAAAAAAAAUUAAUAAAAUAAAUUAUAAAAAAUAUAAUAAUUUUAUUAUUUAUAAAUAUAUUUAUUUUAAUGUAAUUAAAAAUUUUAAAAGCAAUUUUUUUUUUUUUUAAAAAGGAGGCUAAACAGGGCUGGGCGGGGCGGGUUUGGGAAUUUCCCAUACCUGCCCCGCCCCGCCCCGCCCUGCCCCGUUUAAUUUUUUAAACGGGACGGGGAUGGGAAUUAUUUUUAAUAAACGGGGCGGGGUUGGGAUGGGGGCGACCCGUCCCGAACCUGCCCCGUUGCCAUUCCUAGAUGCAACAGUAUGAGUCAUGUGCAGGUAGAUUUGAAUAGACACAUCUUGGCAUCGGGAUGGCUUGAGCAAGGUGUAGUCUCCUACAAUAGGAAGCAUGGUGAACUGAUGCAUCACAUGAGCAAGACUCCUAUUGCAUGAGACAUACUCCUAUCACAUGAGACUUCUAGUCAAAGUGGGAGAUUGAGACCUAAUAUUGCAGGAAGAGAAAGGGACUCUUGACAUGAGAAGACUCCUAAUCGGGAUAGAAAACUAAAUCUUCAUGCAUAAGGAGAUAGAGAGAUGUGGCAUGAGAGUUUUAGAUUCAGUAGGACUUGGAGUCCUACUCAAAUUUGUCAUCUGUUAAGCUUGAGUCGGACGCAAACUAGGACUCAAAAGUUAGUCUCCUAGUAGGAUUAGGAUGGCUUGGUGCAACCUUCAUAAAAGGAGGGCGUGACCCAAUAGGAUGCUCCAAAAAUGGUACCUUACGUGAUAGGAAGGCCCCUUCAAAAGUCAUAUUGCUUGUACCACCAAGACACCACCACUAAGUAUUUGUCCAUAUCUUAAUCCAUGUGUGCAUGGAGAUGAACAUAAAUAUAUAUAGAAAAGAUAAAUAUUAGAAGACAAGUCUCCACAAAGAGACAAAAAUAUAGAAGGCUUCGGUCAACCAAUCCCGCUAUGCGUGGCAAAUGUUUCAGGGGACUGCGUAGGAUUGAACAGCCUUUGCUAGAGGGAAGAUCAAUCUAUGGGCGUGAAUAAAGAGAGAACUGGAGAAGUAUUGGAACAGGCGGGUCACCUCAGUUGACCAGGAAACAUGGCAUUAGUCAACGCAAACCUUGGCUUUCGAUCUCUACAUCGGUGCUGAAUAUUGUUGAACGGAAACACGUGGCCAGCUACAUUGGUUCUAGACAACAAAGGCUGCAACAAUUAACCUGAAAUUGAAAAUUUUGAAAUUUUUUUGAAAACAUAACAUCUUAAGAUGACUGGUAACCUUCUCUUAUUGGUUGGCUCUAAAUCAAAACCACUAUACAUGCAUUGUUCAAUGUAUAUAUGAUGUAGCAUUUUUGUGUUUUGUCUUUUACAAGUUGUAUAUAUUGGAAAAUUCUGACACCAUACAAAAACAUAGAAAAGCCACAAAUACCGCAACUUGCAUAUUUUCAUUUUAUGGCUGAAACUUUUCAAUGAAUCAUUAUCUUUAUUUCAAACUUUAAAAUUUUGAAAACAUAACAUCUUAAGAUGACUCGUAACCUUCUCUUAUUGGUUGGCUCUAAAUCAAAACCACUAUACAUGCAUUGUUCAAUGUAUAUAUGAUGUAGUAUUUUUGUGUUUUGUCUUUUACAAGUUUUAUAAAUUGGAAAAUUCUGACACCAUACAAAAACAUAGAAAAGCCACAAAUACCGCAACUUGCAUAUUUUUAUUUUAUUUUAAUUAUUUAUAGUUGAUUAGGUUUAUGGUAUGCCAUGUUGGAUGCUUUCAGAUUUUACAGAUCUAAGUUACUUUUAUUUUGAGAACGAAUAUUCCAUAAUUCAACCUUUUCCUUUUCUUGUUGGUAAUCAUGAUACAUAAAAUCUAGGAAUGCUAAACACAUCUUUUUUAAAAGUACUAUAUUGUAUUACAAUAGGAAAUGGCUUUUAUCAAAAGAGAAAUAUCCUUAAAUUGAUUAGGCCUAGCUCAUACUUUCAUCAACCAUAUGAUGACAUGAAAAAAAUCAAAGAAGAAAUAUGGGAAAUGGUACGAAAAGAGAUGGGUAGUAAUAACAUGAGACAACAACUUGUUUUACAACUAGUUGUAGCAGAAAAACCAAUGUUUAAAAUGAUAGAAGAGCCCCAACCACCAGAACCACCACUGAAACACAAGGUAUGCAUUUACUUACUAAUAAUACAAGAUUAAUAUAAGUGACAUAAAGCCUAUGUAAAUGAUAUUAUUUGUUGUAUUGAAGGUAAUUAAAUGUAAAUUAGCAGUGGAAAGAAAAGAAAAUGUUGUUCCAACUGGUACACUAAUAGAAGAAAAAGGAUCGAAUAGGUUGGUUGUAAUAAAUGCUGCACACAAGCCAGAUGCUAGACUCCCAUUUCCAAAUCCAUAUGAGAUUAUCAAUGUUGGGGAUGCUAUUGGCUUUGAGCUUGACUGGCCAACAAGCCUUGUCAUACUUGAAACUGAACAUCCUUAGGUAUGUCAUUUUAUGCCUAUAGUAAAUUUGAUUGUAACUUGGUAUUUUAUUGUUUAGGAGUAUAUAUAUCUAACAUUCCUUCCUUUUUCAUAGGUGUUGGAUAAAGGAAAGAAGAAGAUAGUGAAGACACCAAUUUUUUGAAAAUCUAAGCCUCAAAAUCAUUCGGUCAUUAAAAAUUUUCAAAAAUUUGUGGAUGGUUGUCUUGGUAAUGACAAGACAUACCCAAUACAGCUCCCCAUUUCACUUUUUGGUGUCGAAUUUCAAACAUAUAUAUCUAGAGAGGAUUGUGAAUACAUUAUUUCAUCUUUAGAGGUGUCAUCAAACUGCAUCUCCUUCUAUUUAUGGUGUGCACCUUUUAUUUUCAUUUGUUUUUAUUUUUUUAAAUAUGAGUUGCCCAUGUUGAACGAAAUUGGAUAUGACUAAUGAUAAUUUUCUUUUGGUGUUUUGAUACAAUAAUAGGCACAUGCAUGAUCAACUACAUAUUGCCAAAAAGGAAUCACAAUUUAUAUUUGUUAAUCCUUUUACAAUAUCACGAGCAAGCCUUAGUACUCAUCAAACAGAGAAAAGAGCACAAUUGUUGUCAAAACGCUUAAUGGAGUGCCAAGAUGCUAAAUAUGUUUUCAUACCUUACAACCCUGAGUAAGUGACAAAUAUUAUACUUUAAUUUGAGGUUUUAUGAUUGAUUUAUAUUUCUAAUUAGACGCUACUUUUGUUUUUAAUGUUUUAGCUUUCAUUGGGUCUUGGUGGUGAUUGAGCCAAGGAAAAUGAUAGUCCACUAUCUUGACCCUAUGCAUCACAAACUAUUUGAGGACUUAAAGAAUAUCGUAAACAUGUAAGUUCUUCCUAUUAUUUUUCAUAGUAUUAUUUUUUUUUUUUUAUAAAAAAUACAUUCAUCUCAAACACAUUGAACUUAUUUACAUAGGGCACUUCGAAUAUCUACAAAGAAAACAUCUAAAAGGGAGCCAUCUUGGCAACUAGUGCAGGUGACAUCCAAAAAAUUUUCUUUACACAUUAGCUUAUGCAUUUGCACCAUUUAUAUAUAUGAGUACUAAUGUUAUUUUAUAAUUGAUCGAUUAGUGUCCAAGACAAGAAGGAGGGUUCGAAUGUGGCUACUUUGUUAUGAGAUUCAUAAAAGAGAUAAUUUUUUAUCCUACAAUUAUUGCUUCAAAGGUAUUACAAAUUUAAUGAAUUGUACAUAGUUUUAGGCUUCCAAAUGUUAUGCAUUUUAAUGUUAUUUUCUUAUUUGAUUUCAGUUUGGUGAUAAAAAAACAUAUUCUCAAGUAGAAUUCGAUGAAAUUAGAGAAAAAUGGGCUACUUUUGUGCUACAACUAAUCAUGAAUCAUGUUGAUGCAUCAUGAUCACCAUGCAUGGUGAGUCCUUUAGCUACUACAUGAAUUUUUCCAUAGGUUCUUUGAAUAAUGUUUCUAUUUGAAAAAAAAAAAGAAAAAAAAAUAGUUCUUAGAUUUUUUUCAUUUAUGAUAACAUCGAUCCAUGUUUAUUUUCUUCAAUAAAAAUCUAUAAAACUCAUUAAACUAUGAAAUGCAAGUAUACACUUUUGGGAUGGUGGAAUGGAGAAUAAAAAGAAAGAAGAAGGCAACAAGAUUUUGGGUUUUUAAAUGCAACUCUUAUGUCAUACGUUGUAGGACAUAAAUGUUAAUUUAAUUAGUACUGAGAAAUUUAGAUUUUUAGAUGGGACUUUUAUGUCAUUUUAUAGUUAGCCGGUUUUAUGCUUAUGAAUUGGAGGUAUACAUGAAUCUUGGGAUCUUUAACAUUUCUAAAUCAUGUUUUGGUAUGUAUUCACUCUUCUUUUUUUAGUUUUGAUGGGUUUGAUAUGUUGGAUGUACUAUCUUUUUGUGAACAUUUGAUAUACAAAUAUUAUUAGAUGAUCAAUGUAUUAUGAGUUAUUCUAGAAACAUUACAGAAAAAUGAGUUAAAUAUAAUAUUAUUGUUAUAUUUAUGGACAAAAAAUAAAUAGGUUAAUCUUACUUAUUAAUUCAUAAGCAUUACAAAAAUUUAUAACUAAAAGCAAUCAUAUCUUCCACAAUAAUUUACAAUGAUGUGACACCAUUACUCAAAGGUGAUGCAUUUAAUAUGACAUUAUAAUUCAAAGAUGAUGCAUUUAAUGCGAUACCCUCUCAUCACUAGAAAUAUAUGGUGUCACUUCCGAAUGGGUCACCAUUUAUCUACUUUGGUGUCACUUCCAAAUACGUUACCAAUUGGUACCCUCUAUGGUAUCAGUGGAGAAGGUGACGCUAUGUUGUAGUGACACCCUAUGUUUAUGGUAACUCGUUAUAAAUGUCACCAUAUAUCUUUUUCCCUAUAGUGUAUAGCUCCAGUGAGGCUGUUCUCAGAGAAACAAAGGUAUGUCAAGUUUGUCAUUUGGCCUAGUACAGCAGGAAUGCUUCCAGUCAGAUUGUUAUCGUCCAAGUCUAUUGUCUCCAGGCUCCAAUAGCCUUGUAUGGAGGCUGGAAUAUUGCCUCCAAGCUUAUUACAACUCAUGUUUAUGAAUGUUAACUCAGAAAGCUCUCCAAUGGUAGCUGGGAUCCCUCCAUACAAGCUGUUGCCUUGCAAAGAGAGGGUGGUGAGAUGGGAUAGAUUGGAUAUGUAUGGUGAGAUAACUCCCUGUAAGCGCAUGUUUAUGAGCUUGAUUGACUCUAUUGAUAUUUUGUUGGUUGAGCAUGGAUUUAUGACUUAUAACGCACACGUGGAGGGUUGAAUUUCAUGAAAGAAAAUGAGGGUCAGAAAAAUAAUAAAUGGCAAGACAUUGAGCUUAUUGUGGGUAUGAUUGGGUACAAAUUCUUUUGUAUAUAUCUACUUGGGGUAUACAAUUGAAUAUUUAAUUUAGGAAGAUUCAAAAAAUUGUUUUCAAUGAAAUUCAAUAAUAAUAAUAAUAAUAAUAACAAUUGCCUGGAAAUUUAUUUAUUUAAUAAACAUUGUUUUGUCAUCAAAGUUAAUUUUUAAUAAAAUUAUCUAAAAAAAUGAAUUUUUAAAUAAAAUUCUAUUUCCUUAAUUAAAAUGGGCUAAAAAGUAAUUUUUGCAAAUUAAUGUCUUAAAUAACCUUUUCAUAAUAAUAGAAUGAGAAUCUUUUUAGCAAAUUGAACUUAUACAAAUCAUUUUCUUUUUGUAAAUAAAGUUUGUAAAAAAAUUAUUUUCUUUAUAAAUAAAAUCAAAUUGAAAUAUUUUUACAACUAAAAGAAUAUUUAGUUGAGCAAGUGAUGAACUAUUUUCUUGUUUAAGUAACCUUUUGUAAUGUUCCCCCAGCAUAAUGGUAGUACAAUAAGAGGGUUUAUUAUGUACUUCUUUCUAUAUGGACUUUGGGUAUAAUAAAAACAAUGCUUUCUCUUUCUCUCUCUCUCUCUCUCCCCCUCAGUCCACAGGUUUAGACCCUUAGCUUUACCCUGCACUAAGUCUUGAAAGCCAAAGAUUAUGCAGAAUCAAACUCUUAAAGUCUACAGCAUGAGUUGAGGAAAAAAGGAUGAGUAUUUAACGUAGUAGUUGAGGAAUGAUUCAAUGUUUGAAAUAUAAAAAAUGCAAUCCAUUGAACACUUAGCUGGCCUAUCUGCUUAUUAUUGUAUACAUAAAACAUAGACUAAUCCGAAGACUUCUAUGUGAUAACUUUAGAAUUUUCAUAUCCAAGGUUUUCACUUCUUUCUCAUCAGAAGACAAAGAUUGUAACUGUUGCAGAAAACCUAACAACCUAGUUUAUUUGUUAAGGUCCCUUUCUCUCAUAAAACAUAAAUAUAUUCACUAUCAAACACCAUAAUGAUAAUAAUAAUUAAUGAUCUUCUUUUUGCUGUAUAUACACUACUUUAGAGUUUGUUCAAUGUUUGGUUACCAAGAAAACACAAGGACUGAUCUGCUGCAUUAAAAGGUUAAUAUGUAGUUCUUCCAUUAGCUAGCCAUUUGGAACUAAGUCUUGUGGAGAACUUUUCAUAUUGGAGAUGGAUAUGAAAUUGGACCUGCCUCCACCUCAUUGAACUUCACUUUCAACAUAUGCAUUGAGAAUAUUUAAGUUAAGAUCAGUAUACUAACUAACCCUACAUAAAUUAACAUGUAUUGGUGAAAACACUUAUCCUUGUAAGUGAGAAAGCAAAAAAAGAAAAAAAAAAAAAGAAAAAAGAGAGAGACCUACCCAUUGAAGACUGUCUAUAAAUUGACAUGUUUCUCAUGCAAAAAUUUUCACCCCUCGCCUAAACGCAAAGAUUUGUAAUUGUUUGGAGACAGUACUCUAACAAUGGAGAAAGGUGUUAGUUUCCUAGUAACUGUGGCCCUCAUGGCAUUGGCUUCAUCUUUUGCCUCUGCCUCUGAUCCAAGCCCACUGCAGGACACUUGCGUUGCCAGACCCAAGAAUGCUGGUAUUUCUUUAGUAACCAACGAACUUGUCUCUAUUUUCACUAAUCUUUCCAAUUCAAUAUUGGGCACAUUAAUGCAGUAGCCAUUGCUGGUCUGAGCAGCCAAAAUCCAGGUGUAAUCACCAUAGCCAAUGCAGUGUUUGGAUCAAAUCCACCCAUCAAUCCCGAUUUCCUGGCAACGGCCUUCCAGUUGGACAAGAAGGUGGUUGAAUUCCUUCAAGCACGAUUCUAGUGGGGAAAUAGAGAAAAUGAAGAAGCUAUGAACCUUUGGUUUUCUUGCUUGAAUGACUAUUUGUGAUGUUCAAUUACCUCAUUACAAUAAGAGGGGUUUAUUACUUUAUUUUGUAGCUCUUUUGGUGUGGAUUUUGAUCCUGAUAUUAAAAUAAAGCAGUUUGUCUGUUAGGCAUCUUCUUCUGUCUCCAUCUCAAUAUUUGUCUUAAAAAAUCUCAUCUUGUGAAAAAACAACUGGAUAACAACUCUCAGUUGAUUGAUUAACCUGCAUGUGCAGAAUGUUUAUUAAGAAGGAAUACUUAGCUAGUUGUAAAACAGUACUACUGUUACUUCCAGCAUAAGUGUCAUGAAAAUUGUGAAGAAAGAAUGGAAAUGAAAACCCAGAAAUCUUAUGACAUCUACUGUAGACAAAUUAAUGUCUUAAAUAAUCUUUUCAUAAUAAUAGAAUGAGAAUCUUUUUAGCAAAUUGAACUUAUACAAAUCAUUUUCUUUUCGUAAAUAAAGUUUGUAAAGAAAUUAUUUUCUUUAUAAAUAAAAUCAAAUUAAAAUAUUUUUGUAAAUAAACUAAAAAUUAAUGUCCUAAGUAAAAAUCAUUUUUAUUGUCAAAUUGGAAUUUUUUGAAUAAAUUCUAUCCAAAUAGAAUUGAAUCAAAUCAUUUAUUGGAAAUAAAUAAAUAAAUUAAAAUCUUGAAAAAGUAAUAUUUAAAAUAUCUUUUUGUAAUCAAUUUAAUAAAUCGGUUUGUAUAAUUCUAAUGUCAUUUAUUUUGUACAUUUUUGUAAUUUAAUUUUAUCAUUAUUUUCUUGUAUAUUAAUUUGUCUCUUUAAUCUUGAUAUUCAUGAUUGAUCAAUUAACUGUCAUAAUUCAUUUCGUUUGUUUAGUAAAUAUUGUUAGUAUACAUGCUUAGAGGAGUAUUACGACUUAUUACUGUACCUUCCUGAUAGGCAACCUGACCCUUGAAUAUAGACUUGAUUUUACAAACAUGUCUUUUCUAAAUGAGGAGUUACACAAAAUUUUCUUUCUUAUUUUGUUCUCUUUUAAAAAAUAAAUUAAAAUAAGUGGCAACCCUAAUUUUUUUAUAAAAAAAAAAAAAAAAUCAAAUUUUCACAAUAAAAAUGAGUCUCACUGUCGAGUGGGAACACACGCAAAAAAUACGGGUCAACAUGUAUCCAAUUGAUUGGGGUCAAUGUCAAGAUGUGUGAUAAAGAUGCAAAUUUGAAUAUGAAUCCUGCCAUUGAUUGAAUCUUGAACUACCCGAUAGUGGUUGUAACAAGUGAGAUAAGUUGCUAAGGUUUGCGUUGAAAAGUUCAGCCAUGGAAAGUUACUAGUCAUCCAAAUAUGUAUAUAAAUCAAAGUGCACAUUCUAAAUCAAAGAAAUCAGCCUCCUUAAGCAAAAGACCUUACAAUUCUUAGAGUAUGUUUGGUAGUAAUUUUAGGAAGUGUUUUUAACUUUUUUAAUAAUUGAAAAAUAAGAAUUUUGAAGUAUUAAAAAAUGUUAGAAACACUUCCUAAAAUCACUAUCAAACGCACUUUUAAUGUAAUUUGCUCUAUCUACCACUUGAUGUGGAUGUUAAGAUUGAUAUCCUUGGUCAUUGCCUAUAAUCCUAUAUCUAUAAUUGCAAGAAGACAUACAUUGAAACAUGAAUACCCUUUCACUAUGUUUGGUUUAUGGAAAAUACUAAGAAAAGAAAAUGUUUUUCUUAUAUUUAGUUUUAUUAUGAAAAAUAAGAAAAAAUAAAAUAUAAUUAUAAUUAAUUAAAAUUUUAUGUAUUUUAAAAUUAUUUAAUAUUUAUAUAAUGAAGGAAAAUAAAUGAAACGAGCUUGAAAAAGUAUAUAAAAAUAAUUUAUUAAUUAUAACUUGUAUGCGACUAUUUUGUACUUUAAUCCCGUUUUUCUUUUAUCCUCUUGUAGGUACCUUGAUUUUAUAUAUUUGUAUCUUUAUUCAAUGAUUUAGAUUUCAUAUAUUUGUAUCUUUAAUUGAGAUUGCAAGAUCUGUACGGAUUCAGAUUAGGGAUGGCAACGCUAUAAGCUUAAGAUAAGUUACUCAUAUCCCAAUCCAUUAUAUUUAUUCGUAUAUGUUAUCAUCCCCACCAAAAAAAGAAAUUAAAUGGGAUGGGACGGGUAUAGGAAAUUCUCAUGCCUACCCCAUGCUAUCCCGUUUUUUAUUUAUUUAUUUUUCAAUUUUUAUUUCUAAAAUUUUAAGAAAAUUAAUAUUUUAAAUAUGUUAAAAAAAUUGAAAACUGAAAAAAGAAAUCAAUUAAAAGAACUUUUUAUUUAACAUUAUACAUAAUUAGGCUGAGGUAGGAUGAAACAAACUCAUACCCAAAAUCACCCCGAAUCAAUCUCGGGUUUUAAAAAAUUUCUCAAAUUCAAGAUGAGACAAAAUCAUAUCCAAAACUAUCUCGAAUCCAUCCUAGAUUUUAAAAAUUUUCUCAAAUUUAUCUAAACUCGUUUAUCAUUAUCUCAAAACGAGCCCAUUAAGGGUAGGACGAGUACUAAAUAAAAUUGGUAUAUUAUCAUCCCUAAUCAAGAUCCUAAAAUUUUUCUUUAUGAUAAUGAAAACAACAAUCAUAGUCGUCAUCUCUCUAUCAGUUUACUUGUUAGGUUUGAUCAAAUACACCUUAUGUGUUGCCUUUGGGCAACCUAGCUCUCUCAAUCAUUGUCUAAAGUUCGGGUGUUUGUUUAUUUUUUUAAUUCAUUUUGUCUUAAGUUUUUUAUUAUUAAAUAAAAUUUCUUUUUGUUACUUUAAACACCUCUAAUAAUUAUACUUUUUAUUUUUUAUAUUUAUAUUUAUCAAGUUUAUAACUGUAAAAUUUAUAAAAAUGUUAGUUUUUUGUUUUUAAAAAUAAUAAAAAGUGAUAUUUAAAGGGUCAAGUGGGCCAGCAUGAUGGCACGAUGGGUUGUUUCCUUAGGCCCACCACGACCCGCUCCUUUGGGCCAUGCCGGCCUGACUCGGUCUUUUGGCGCACUUGGCCACAGGCCAAAAUGGGUGGCUCGACCCAUUGGACACCUCUAGUAGUUACAUGUCUAGCAUCCAAACGUUAGACCAGAUGAGUUUUGUCAAACCCAACCCAUUCAUCCCCUUUGCCUCAUGUUGGCCACCCGGUUCGGACCAGCCUUGACAUGAACGGCAAGGUCCAAUGGAUUAGGUUGAUUUAGGGUCUCGAUUAUUUUUGUUUAAAUAAAUUGCAAAGAAAAAAAAAACUUGGUUUGGAUAAAUAAAUUUCAAUUGUUUUUAAAAUAGGUUUUUAUUUUAUUUUUUGUAAAAUUUUUUAUAAAUUCAAUUUAUACAAUAUUAAUUAUAUGUAAUUGAAGUCUUAUUAAAGAUUUUUUAAAAAAUAGUUUUUAAAUUAAAGAUAAAUUAAAAAAAAUCAUAAAAUAUGAAAUUAAUAUUAUAAUAAAAUCAUAAAUUAUGGUUUUUAUUUAAAAUGAUACUAUUUUAAGAUAUGAUUUAUUUAUUUUUAUAAGAAUGAAUAAUACUAAUUUUAAAAUAAUAAAAGGGUGAUAUAUUUUAUUUGAAAUAAAUUUAAAAAUAAAUAAAUUUUAUUUUUUUAAUACGUAAAUAAGUCAUGUUUUUCAUUAUAUCUACACCCGAGAAUUUAAACUUGACCCAAACUUCAACUAAAAAGACCUAUAUCCAACACAGUUAUUAGAGGUGUCCAAUGGGUCGUGUCGGGCCAACACAAUCCGAUGUUUAUCAGGCCAAUGCGUUGGCUCGACCCAUGCAAGCCAAAUAGGUGGCUUGACAUGGCCCAUAAGCCCAUGUGCUAAUCAUGUCGUGUUGUGCCAUGCCGGUGAGUCGUGCCCCAUGGGCACACACUUUAUUAAAAAUUUUAAUUAAUUUUUUUUAAUUCAUUUUGACUUAAGUUUUUUUAUUAUUAAAUAAAAUUUCUUUUUGUUACUUUAAACACCUCUAAUAAUUAUACUUUUUUAUUUUUUAUACACUUCUAAUAAUUAUACUUUUUUUUUAUAUUUAUAUUUAUCAAGUUUAUAACUGUAAAAUUUAUAAAAAUGUUAGUUUUUUGUUUUUAAAAAUAAUAAAAAGUGAUAUUUAAAGGGUUAAGUGGGCCAGCAUGAUGGCACGAUGGGUUGUUUCCUUAGGCCCACCACGACCCGCUCCUUUGGGCCAUGCCAGCUUGACUCGGUCUUUUGGCGCACUAGGCCACAGGCUAAAAUGGGUGGCUCGACCCAUUGGACACCUCUAGUAGUUACAUGUCUAGCAUCCAAACGUUAGACCGGGUGAGUUUUGUCAAACCCAACCCAUUCAUCCCCUUUGCUUCAUGUUGGCCACUCGGUUCAGACAUUGGGUUGAUUUGGGGUCUCGGUUCUUUUUGUUUAAAUAAAUUGCAAAGAAAAAAAAAACUUGGUUUGGAUAAAUAAACUUCAGUUGUGUUUAAAAUAAGUUUUUAUUUGAUUUUUUGUAAAAAAAAUUAUAAAUUCAAUUUAUACAAUAUUAAUUAUAUUUAAUUGAAGUCUUAUUAAAGAUUUUUUUAAAAAUAGUUUUUAAAUUAAAGAUAAAUUAAAAAAAUUCGUAAAAUAUGAAAUUAAUAUUAUAAUAAAAUCAUAAAUUAUGAUUUUUAUUUAAAAUGAUACUAUUUUAAGAUAUGAUUGAUUUAUUUAUUUAUUUAUUUUGAUAAGAAUGAAUAAUACUAAUUUUAAAAUAAUAACAGGGUGAUAUUUUAUUUGAAAUAAAUUUAAAAAUAAAUAAAAUUUAUUUUUUUUAAUACGUAAAUAAGUGAAGUUUUUCAUUAUAUCUACACCUGAGAAUUUAAUCAAGGAUAUAGUAUUUUGAACUAGUUUUGAGUCAUUCCUAUAAGCUUCAUUCAGUCAUUAUGGUUUAGACAAUUGAUAAUUAAUCUGUUGGCAUAAUUGAUUCUGCAAAACAGUAUCCUGAAUUUAGUAUCGAGGGAGGCAGAAACACAGCGAGAGAGAGAGAGAGAGAGAGAUGAUGCUUAACAAACAGACUGCAGACUGCUUUAUUGUAGUAAUAUGCCCAAAGUCCACACUAGAAGAGUUACAACCAGACCCUCUUAUUAUACCAUGUUUGUUACAAUGAGGGAAUUGAACAUCAUGAAUCGUCAUUCAAGCAAGGAAAUCAAAGGUUGACAGCUUAUUCUUUUUCUAUAUUUCCCCACUAGAAUCGUGCUUGAAGGUAUUCAACCACCCUCUUGUCCAACUGGAAGGCCCUUGCCAGGAAAUCAGGAUUGAUGGGUGGAUUUGAUCCAAACAUUGAACUGGCUAUGGUGAUUACACCUGGAUUUUGGCUGUUAAAAACGGCAAUGGCUACUGCAUUAGUGUGCCCAAUGUUGACUUGGAAGUGAAUGAGACUGAAAGGGAACACAAAAACAUCCCCCUUGUUCAGGACUUUGCUAAUGAAGCGGUGUUCAGGGUUGGAUGUGAUAAAGCCAACAAAGAGUUUUCCCUCCAAGACAAUGAAGAUCUCACUGGCACGAGGGUGAAAGUGAGGAGGGUUUUGACCAUUAGGUUCAUAAUCGAUACGAGACAGUGACACCCCAAGAGUGUUUUCUCCUGGUAAUUGAUCAACAUUUAUAAGAUUGACAAUUGAGCCCACAUAAUUUGAUGUGUUUCCUGGAAUAUUCAGCCCUUGAUACAAGAAAUCCUCGGCCACGGUCAGGUUUGGGUUCUUGCAGAACUUCCCAUUUACAAAUACUGCAUGAAGAAGGAAAAAAGAAAAGAUGUAUCCUUAGUAUCAAACCAUACUCACCAUAUCAAUAAAAAGAGUAGUACUGAAAAUAGCUAUAACAUCAUUGGUUACAAUAGAAAUACCAGCAUUCUUGGGCUCAUCAACUGCAACACAGGUGUCUUCCAGUGGGCUUGGAUCAUAGGCAGAGGCAAGAAACGAAGCCAAUGCCAUGAGGGCCACAGUUACCAUGAAACUAACGCCUUUCUUUAUUGUUAGAGUACUGUCUCCAACAAUCCCAAUCUUUAUCUUUCGGCGGGGAUAAUAAAUUUAGCCUGGAAAAGAUGUUAAUUUAUAGACCAGAGUCGGUGAGUUAGUCUUUGCAUAAACUCACCAAGUCUUCAAUGGGAAGUUUUUUCUUCUUUCUUUUUUCACUUUCGAGGACAAGCGGUUGCACCAAUACGUGUUGAUUUACGUAGGAUUAGUCAGUGUAUAGAUCUUAACCAGAAUAUAAAGCAAUGUACAAUCAGGUGGAGGCAGGUCCAAUUUAAUAUCAAUCUGCAUGAUCCAUACGUUUACAUUUAUAGUAGAGCUUUCUGCUCUUUUAGUAGUGUAUAGACAAGCAAAUAGAAGAUUACAGAGUAGGUGCCAGCUUGGAGUAUACAAUGACCCGCCCAUAUCAAACAUGGUUACUCCAUGAGGCUUGUGUAGGUUCAGUUUAAUGAGUAUCUAUAUAGCUUAAUUCACCAUUCAAAGUGUUGAGAGAUUGGCUGAUGAGAUUAAAUAUGUAGCCAAGUUCUGAGUUUCUAGCUCAUGUGCCUUCCACUGAGUGAAAAGUCCUUGGAUAAGCUCUGGCUUUCUGCUAUACGCUCAUUAGGCUUUCCUCAGUUACAAAAGCUUUGACUAUGAUUUUUACGCUUGUAGCCUUCGCUGUCUGAGCGGUUUCUAAGACUUUUUAAUUAGUUGCUUCUAAGUUGUCUUUAACAAGCAAGUCCGUAUUUUCUGGCGAGAAGCAAGAAAAUACCAAUUGAUUAGAUGAAGUCCUUCGACUAAUCUAUGCCCUAUACGUAAGGUAAUUAAGCAGUUACACUUUCCAAAUCUUCAAUGGAUGUCAUUUUUCGAAUUGAAAGGUUGAACUUCCUCAAGUUAUGCUCUAGACUCUAGAAUGAAUUCUACAUAAUCUUCGGUUUUAGGCCUUAUUCCUAGUUUAAAGCUAAGAAGUAAACCAGUGGACAGACCAUCUGUAAUCAGAUUGUGAUUAGUGUCAUGACCCAUUAGAUCUUUAUAAGAAGUUGGCCAUGGUUCAAAGUCACGGUAUCCGUCACCAAAUCGGUAAGUCCCGAGGUACAUCAGUUUCAACGUCACGGAUCGAUAUCGGAUGAUACGCAAAAAUUUAUAGUUUAAAAGCUCAAAACAAUUUAAAAAGAUUACAAAAAUAAAUACAAAUAAAUAAAGUUAAAAAUUAAGAAAUAAAAUUUUAUUAUGUAUAAAAUUAUUCAAAUUAUGAUAAAACAUACCUUUGUAAUGAUUUAUAAAAAUAUUAAAACUAUAAAAAAAAUAAUUUAAUCACUUAAUAUUAAAUAUGCAUCAUUAAAGAUGAAAAUAAUAAAAAGUGAAUUUAUAGUUUAUAAUUUUUUUAAAAUUAAAUAUUUUGAAUUUUUUAAAAAUAUUUUCAAUAUUUAAAAAAAUACAUCUAGGAAUCAUCUUUGAAAAAAAUAAACAUCAUUUUUCUUAUCAAAUGUAUUCUAAAUAAAACAAUUAUAAAAAUAAAGAAUUUUUAUUUGAAUGAGCAUAUUUGAAUAUAAUAUAUUUUUUCUAUACAUCUAUUCAUUUGAAUUGAAUUUUUAUAUUAAUAUUCAUUUCCUUUUUUAUUCAUGUAAACCUAAAUAUUCAUUAUUAAUGUACCAUAAUCCUAAUUCCCAUCAAAUUUGCAUUAUCCAUUUAAAUACAAUUAUUCACAACAUAUUCAUUAACUACUUAAAAAACAAAUACCCACCCAAAUUUGUAAUCCUAUCAAAUACCCAUAACCCAUUGGCAAACACGUAUUUCCUUUUUUUGGCACAAUACCCAUUUUCUCUCUAAAACAACACUUUGAGCUCUCUAUUUCUUUGCACAAUACCUAUAUUUGAAGGCUAAAAAAAUAGGCCUACAAAGAUACAAAAGGAUGGAGCUAGAAAUACAAGGAUGAAGAUGCACAAGGUUUGAAGACUCUAUACUCUCCACACUUCUUCACUUUCAUAUGUUUCCAUCAUCUUCUUUCAUCCACUAUUUUCGCUCCUAUAUUACCAUUUUUUCCCAUCACCCAUCACCCGAAGAGCUUAGUUUGAAUAUAAUCUUGGGGUUAUCUCAAAGUUUCUUUGUGAUUCAACAAGUUUUUUCAUGAGUCAACCAAAUAUUAGACUCAGGUAUCGGUUCAGUACUAGUCAUGGACAAGAUUUUAACCCUGUUUGAGCUCUCUAUUUCUUUGUACAAUACCAAUUUUUAAAGGCUCACAAAAUAACCCUAUGAAAAUACAAGAGGAUAGAGAUGCAAAUACAGGGAUGAAGAUGCAAAAGGUUUGAAGACUUUGAACUCUCCAUAUUCUUCGGUUUCAUGGGUUUCAAUCUUCUUCUCUCAUCAACUAUUUCUGCUCCAAUAUUACCAUUUUUUUCCAUCACCCAUGACCUGAAGAGCUUAGCUUGGACAUAAUCUUAGGGAUAUCUCAAAGUUUCUUUGUGAUUUAACAAGUUUAUUCAUGAUUCAACCAAAUAUUGGACUCGGAUAUCGGUCCGAUACCGAUCAUGGCUGAGGCAUAUAUGAAUCGGUUGAGUCGUACCGGUCUCGACCGAGAUUUUGAACCUUGUUUGAGCUUUCUAUUUCUUUGCACAAUACUAAUUUUUGAAGCCUUAUAAAAUAGCCCUACGAAGAUAUAAGAGGAUGAAGAUGCAAAUACAAGGAUGAAUAUGCAAAGGGUUUGAAGACUUUGAACUCUCCAUACUUCUUCACUACCAUAGGUUUCAAUCUUCUUCUCUCAUCCACCAUUUCCAUUCCAAUAUUACCAUUUUUUUUUCCAUCACCCAUCACUCAAAGAGCUUAGUUUGGACAUAAUCUUGGGGUUAUCUCAAAGUUUCUUUAUGAUUCAACAAGUUUAGUCAUGAGUCAACUAAAUAUUGGACUUGGGUAUCAGUCUGAUACUAGUCAUGACCAAGAUUUUGAACCCUUUUUGAGCUCUCUAUUUCUCUACAUAAUACCCAUUUUUGAAUGCUCACAAAAUAACCCUACAAAGAUACAAGAUGAUAGAGAUGCAAAUACAAGGAUGAAGAUGCAAAGGGUUUGAAGACUCUAAACUCUCCAUACUUCUUCACUUUCAUAGGUUUCGAUCUUCUUCUCUCAUCCGCCAUUUCAACUCCAAUAUUACCAUUUUUUUCCAUGACCUAUCACUCGAAGAGCUUAUUUUGGACAUAAUCUUGGGGUUAUCUCAAAGUUUCUUUUUUAUUCAACAAGUUUAUUCAUGAGUCAACCAAAUAUUGGACUUGAGUAUUAGUUCGGUACUGGUCAUGGCCGAGGUGGAUAUGACUUGGCCAAGUCAUACUGGUCUCAAUCGAGAUUUUGAACCCUAUUUGAACUCUCUAUUUCUUUGCACAGUACCCAUUUUUUAAGGCUAACAAAUUAGCCCUACGAAGAUAUAAGAGGAUUGAGAUGCAAAUAAAGAAAUGAAGAUGCAAAGGGUUUGAAGACUCUAAACUCUUCAUACUUUUUCACUUUCAUGGGUUUCAAUCGUCUUAUCUCAUCCACCAUUUUCGCUCCAAUAUUACAAUUUUUUUCCAUCACCCAUCACCCAAAAAGCUUAGUUUGAACAUAAUCUUGGAGUUAUCUCAAAGUUUAUUUUUUAUUCAACAAGUUUAUUCAUGAGUAAACCAAAUAUUGGACUCAAGUAUCAAUUCAAUAUCAAUCAUGGUUGAGGCGGAUAUGACUCGAACAAGUUGUACUUGUCUCAACCGAGAUUAUGAACCCUAUUUGAGCUCUCUAUUUAUCUCUACAAUACCCAUUUUUGAAGGCUUACAAAAUAGUCCUACGAAGAUACAAGAUGAUGGAGAUGCAAAUACAAGGAUGAAAAUCCAAAGAGUUUGAAGACUCUGAACUCUCCAUAUUUUUUCACUUUCAUGAGUUUUGAUUUUCUUCUCUUAUCUGCCAUUUCCGCUCCAAUAUUACCAUUUUUUCCAUUACCCAUCACUUGAAGAGCUUAGUUUGGACAUAAUAUUAAGGUUAUCUCAAAUUUUCUUUGUGAUUCAACAAGUUUAUUCAUAAGUCAGCCAAAUAUUGGACUUGGGUAUCUGUUCGAUACUAGUCAUAUAUGGUAGAGGCGGAUAUGACUCAACCAAGUUGUACUAGUCUCAACUAAGAUUUUGAACCCUAUUUGAGCUCUCUAUUUCUCUGUACAAUACCCAUUUUAAAGGCUCACAAAAUAGCCCUACCAAGAUACAAGAUAAUGAAGAUGCAAAUAUUACUCAUUGAAUAUCUAGCAAUAAUUGGUUUAUUUUUUAUUUUUGAAUUAUUUUUUAAAAUUAAAUAUCUAUUAAUGAAACAAAAAUACUAAUGAUUAAUACCAAAAAGUGCUAUUUUGUAGAUCUAAUUAUAAUGGUUUUAAGCACCUUUGAGUAGUAAUCAUAUUCAUUUAACCCAAUUAAUUCAUUAAGGUCCUUAGUAAUUGGUUUUAACCAUUUUGUGGCAAGUUUACAUGUUUUUAUCAGCUUAUGAAUCAAUUCAAGCAUGCCAAAUGAUGGAGGAGCUACUUAGACAAGUUAAAGCAAGGAUUUUGGAAGUUUACAGGCUUGAAUUUCAAGUGGAAACACGAGCACAAGCAAUGGAGAAGAGGAAAACAGAGUGAAGAAAACAGAGGACAGCAGCUGCAGUCUUCUUUUGCACUUUUGGAGCACUUCCCGAAGUCCAUUUUCUACAUUCUAUAUACCAUUUCAAAGCUCAGGAAGUCAAUAAUCCAAUGCUUCAAACGGUGCGUGAUUCGGAGUUGAAACGAAGGAGUUACAGCCAUUGCAAUCAGAUCACUCCAAGCUGCUGCGAAAUCAGCCUUUUGUUGCGAGAAUUUCGCAGCCUUUUUGUACAGUGCAAUGGAAUUCCUCCUGAAGCUACCCGAUAUAUGCUGCAAGCUGGAAUGCUGAGAACCUCAAGGUGGAAGCCAACUUCGCAGCCCUGCGAAGAUAGCUUGGUGUUGCGAAAUUAUUUCGCAACCCUCUUGAGUGUCUGCGAAAUCUCGCAGACCUCGUUUUCACCUGCGAAAUGUCCUUAGUGCUUCCUGAUAUUUGUGCACCGACUCUUUUGGAUAUUUUUCUUCAGAUAUUUUUGUAUAAAUUUCCAUUUUCUCCUUGUUUUCAGCCACUCAUGUAAUUCCUUAGCUAGGAAGUNNNNNNNNNNNNNNNNNNNNNNNNNNNNNNNNNNNNNNNNNNNNNNNNNNNNNNNNNNNNNNNNNNNNNNNNNNNNNNNNNNNNNNNNNNNNNNNNNNNNGAGAGAGAUUUAGUGUUUGAACCCAUUAAUGGGAAGCAUCUGUACAACACCGGUUGGAGAAGGAACUAUAGGUUAAUUCUCUAAGGCGAGGAAAAAAAACAAGUGACCGGAACUCCCUUUUUGUAUGAGGAACCUGAGCCUAGUGAUCUGAACUCCAAGAAACACUUUUCUUUGUAAGUAAAAUCAGUUACUAUUUUUGGUUAGCUUAAAACCAAACCUUUUUCAUUCAAACAUCUUUAUGUUUUCUUAAGCUAACCUUGAAAUGAAAAGGCACCAAUUCAGCUUUGAAUUAAUAUCAUUUGUGAAGUGAAAACCCAUCCCAGUGGACGAUCCUAGAGCCACUAUGCUAUAGUAGCUUUGUCUUUGCUACCCUAGUAUAUGGUGUAAUAGGUUAUAAAUUUUGUUGAUUACUCCCUCAAUCAAGGAGCACCAGCUGGACACGAAUCAGCUGAGACACCAAUUGGGCACGAAUCAACUAACUCUUUCUUGAUUUUCUUCUCUCAUCCACCAUAUCCGCUCCAAUAUUGCCAUUUUUUCCAUCACCCAUCACCCUAAGAGCUUAGUUUGGAUAUAAUCUUAGGGUUAUCUCAAAGUUUCUUUUUUAUUCAACAAGUUUAUUCAUGAGUUAACCAAAUAUUGGACUCGGGUAUUAGUUCGGUACCGGUCAUGGCCAAGGUGAAUAUGACUUGGCCGAGUCAUACCAGUCUCAAUUGAGAUUUUGAACCUUGUUUGAACUCUCUAUUUCUUUGCACAAUACCCAUUUUUUAAGGCUAACAAAAUACCCUAACAAAGAUACAAGAGGAUUGAGAUGCAAAUAUAGGAAUGAAGAUGAAAAGGGUUUGAAGAGUCUAAACUCUUCAUACUUUUCCACUUUCAUGGGUUUCAAUCUUCUUCUCUCAUCCACCAUUUUUGCUCUGGUAUUACUAUUUUUUUUCCAUCACCCAUCAUCCAAAAAGCUUAGUUUGGACAUAAUCUUGGAGUUAUCUCAAAGUUUCUUUUUUUAUUCAACAAAUUUAUUCAUGAGUCAACCAAAUAUUGGACUAGAGUAUCGAUCCGAUACUGAUAAUGGCUGAGGCGGAUAUGACACGAUCAAGUCGUACGAGUCUUAACCGAGAUUAUGAACCCUGUUUGAGUUCUCUAUUUCUAUACACAAUACCCAUAUUUGAAGGCUCACAAAAUAGUCCUACGAAGAUACAAGAUGAUGGAGAUGCAAACACAUGGAUGAAAAUCCAAAGCGUUUGAAGGCUCUGAACUCUCCAUAUUUCUUCGCUUUCAUGGGUUUCGAUCUUUUUCUCUCAUCCACCAUUUUCGCUCCAAUAUUACCAUUUUUUCCAUUACCCAUCACGCAAAGAGCUUAGUUUGGACAUAAUAUUAUGGUUAUCUCAAAUUUUCUUCAUGAUNNNNNNNNNNNNNNNNNNNNNNNNNNNNNNNNNNNNNNNNNNNNNNNNNNNNNNNNNNNNNNNNNNNNNNNNNNNNNNNNNNNNNNNNNNNNNNNNNNNNAAGAGCUUAGUUUGGACAUAAUAUUAUGGUUAUCUCAAAUUUUCUUCAUGAUUCAACAAAUUUAUUCACAAGUCAACCAAAUAUUGGACUUGGGUAUCAGUCCGAUACUAGUCAUGGUGGAGGCAGAUAUGACUCGGUUGAGUCGUACCAAUCUCGACUAAGAUUGUGAACCCUGUUUGAACUCUCUAUUUCUUUGUACAAUAUCCAUUUUGAAGGCUCACAAAAUAGCCCUACCAAGAUACAAGACGAUGGGGAUGCAAAUAUUACUCCUUGAAUUACUGGCAAUAAUUAGUUUAUUUUUUUAAUUUUGAACUAUUUUUUAAAAUUAAAUAUUUGUUAAUGAAACAAAAGCACUAACUCUUUCUUGAUUUGGAGUUUAUUUGUUGAAUGAAAAUUUUUGGAUAAUUAUGGUUUUGCGCAUAAGAGAAAUAAUGAACCAAUUGUUGUUCAUAAAUUCAUAAAAUUGGAUUAGCAUUUGAGUUUCAAAUUAUUUUUAAAAGUGCUUACAUUCAUUAAUGAAUCUAAUACACUAAGUUCCUCUUUGGGAUGAAUUUUGAAUGAGGCUAAAAGCUUUUCCUAACACUAGAAAGCAAUCUUAAAAAAAUGGUUGAAAAUCACUUUUAAAAAUCUAAAUAAUGACAUGAUUCUUCGAACUAUCACAUUUUUGUUAUAUUAUACAUUGCCAAAACAUUCUCUGAACAUAUUUUAAAAAAAAUUUAUAAUAUGCAUUUCCUACAAAGCAAUCUUAAAAAUAUAUAUAUAUAUAUAUCAUCAAUAAUUAGAUUAUGGUGUGAUAGUGAUUUUAGCAAUUGUUUUUAGCCUUUUUAAUACUUUAAAAAUAACAGCAGUGAAUUUAGGAAACGUUUCUAGCUUUUUUAACGCUUGAAUGAUAUAAAUUUUCAAGUAUUAGAAAAGUUAAAAAUGUUUCCUAAAAUCACUACUAAACAGGCUUUAAUCAGUAGUAGUAAUUAAUUGGUAUUGAAUAACUGUAAUGCAGUUUCCUGAAUGUAGUAUUGAGGGAGAGAGAAACAGAGAGGAAGAGAGAGAUGCUUAACAAACAAAUUGCUUUAUUGUAGUAAUAUGCCCAAAGUUCACACCAGAAGAGUUACAACUAGACCCUCUUAUCAUACUAGGAUUGUUAUAACGAGGGAAUUGAACAUCAUAAAUAGUCAUUCAAGCAAGGAAAUGAAAGGUUGAUAGCUUCUUCUUUUUCUAUAUUCCCCCACUAGAAUCGUGCUUGAAGGUAUUCAACCACCUUCUUGUCCAACUGGAAGGCCCUUGCAAGGAAAUCAGGAUUGAUGGGUGGAUUUGAUCCAAACA
Molecule: long non-coding RNA, 84697 nt
Filed under: Vitis vinifera (wine grape)
Lineage: Eukaryota; Viridiplantae; Streptophyta; Magnoliopsida; Vitales; Vitaceae
Description: long non-coding RNA (VVIN_LNC004463)
Source: RNAcentral